RNAcentral lists this long non-coding RNA (59679 nucleotides) under Sorghum bicolor (sorghum). RNAcentral describes it as "long non-coding RNA (SBIC_LNC017564)". Lineage: Eukaryota; Viridiplantae; Streptophyta; Magnoliopsida; Poales; Poaceae. The record is from RNAcentral.
GAAAACAUAAAUAAUAGAAUGGAUAAUUUCUCUACUGCCAUCAAGAAUCAAAUUAGCUUUAAUAAAAUGAUUGAAUCCCAGUUAAAUCAAAUAGCUGCUGCUGUUCCUACUACUAACCCCGGUAUACCAUCACAACCGGAAGGAUUAGAAUCUGCAAAUCUUGUAGACAUGUUCGAUGCAGGUAAUUGGAGUAACCCCGUCACUGAAUUUUCUACUGACCGUCUGCCGGUCAAGAGAGGCGAUCCAGGACGCCCCGUCAUCCCGAUCUCCAUCGGCAUGGUGGACGUUCCAGAAGCACUCUGUGACUUUGGCUCUAGCGUCAACAUUAUACCCAGGGUACUCUAUGAGAAAUUCUUUACAUAUCCUUUAUUAGAAACAACCAUGUGUUUGCAGUUUGCAGAUCAGACGAUAACUUUUCCAAAAGGAAUAGUGAGGAACCUUUGUGUCCGAGUUGGUACUUUAUAUACCCCAGCAGACUUCAUAGUGGUUGAGACCGGAAAUGAUGAGAGAGCACCUAUCAUCCUAGGAAGGCCAUUUUUGAACACCACGGGAGCUAUCAUCUACGCUAGUGCUGCCAAGAUCAGUUUCCACGUCAAAGGGAAGAAGGAGACAUUUUUCUUCAAGAACAAGACUACACAAAUUCCAGAUCAAUCCAGACAUAAAUCAGGGAAGAGGACCAACAGGAGGAACAGGAACAAGCAAGUGUGGACCGAGUCAGCUAAGAUGGUCACUGUAUUCCAUGGAGGCCAAGAUCACCAACUUAAGUCACCGUUUUUGACCAAGAAGGACGACCCAGGAAUGCCAAGAAUCUACUGCUCCAUAAAUGGAUAUAACUUCUACAAGACGAUUUGCGACACCGGAUCGGGCGUCAACAUAAUGGCCGCAGUCACUUAUCGGCUCUUGUUCGGGACCAUGCCACUAAGACUAACAUACAUUCAGCUCCAGAUGGCAGAUCAGACAUUUCGAGAAGUUCAAGGAAUAGUAUCUGAUGUCCCAGUCAAAAUAGACGAUCACUUUGUCUACACAGACUUUCAAGUUAUUGACAUGGGAGAAGACGAGUACGAUCCACCCAUCAUCCUUGGAAGACCGUUCCUCAACACCGUUAAAGCAAUUAUCUACAUUGGAACUGGAGAAGUCCAUAUGCACUUCCCCUCAGAGAAGGUACGCCGUUAUUUUACAGACCCUAACUAUAUCAUUGAAGAAUCUAAGCAGGUCAGAAAGAGACGCAACCGCAACCAGAGGAGGCAGAUCAUCAAGGACGGAUGGGCAGACUGUGAAGGAGAAGUUGUAAGGGAAGUUGUAAGGUCAGAAGACGUAGAGUUUAAACAGAAUUAUCCAGAGGAGAUUGAAGCACCGAGUCAGGUAUGGAAAAUGAAGAUAACUAUACAUGAAGAGGAGGCGCUACCGGAAGUACCGGCUUCGCCACCCAACGAACCUCAGAACAAUUAAGAAAAUGGAGAGUCCCGUUCGGAGGACUUAAAAACACCGAACGCCUUGCCAAGAGGUAAACUUGGUAGUUAUCUUUUCCCUUUCAAAUUAUUCCAACUAGUUUACUUAGUUAAUCAUGUUCGUGCUAUUCUAAAAAGAAAAUAAAAAAAAAAUAUAUGAAAAACAGUAAGCCCCAUGUGAGUAUACGAGUGGCAUAAAACCCAUAAGUACAUUCACUGUGGUGGCAUAAAAACAAAAAUAAAUAUUUUUUCUGCUUUAUAAAAACAAAAAUAUAAAAAGUAACAAUUAUUAAGGAGUCUCAACAUGAUAAGGGCUUGAUAUUUAUGCUAACACUUAAUCAGUUCCACAAGCUAUGUUGUCUAUUUGAGCUCCACAGAAUUUAAGAAUCAAGAAGACUCGCAGACGGAGGACAUUCUAAUCGCUGUCAGAAUGCUGCUGACUUUCAAAUACACCUCUGCCACCUGCUAGCUACAUCAAGAGAAAUUACGUCAAAAUUCAGCUUGGGGGAGAGCACCCCCAUUUAUCCCGAUAAGUAUAUCUAUCUAUCUUUAUACUUAUAUUAUUUUAGAAUAUUAAAAUACACAUAAACUAUGGGAAAACCAAAUAAAGAUUUUAUGCUUAUAUAUGUCUUUUGCUUAGUGUGUUUAACAAAUAAAUAAAGUGGCUAUGCUAAUCUGUAUCUAAACAAAAACUUAAGCAUGGAUAUGAUGAAUAGUUGCUCUGCCUAAUUUGCACAUUCUAAGUUCUCUCUCAAGUUUAGAUAUAACUGUUAUAAUUUAAAGCUUGCCCUAGACCUAAACUUGUGGGAUGAAAACUUGAUCUGAUGUCUAAGUUGUUAACGGAUACGAUAUAGGAAGGUUGAGCUGCUGUUUAUCUGUUCCUAGAGAUGCUAGAAUUCUGGAGAAUUUUAUCUUUGAAAAUCUUUAAAAUGUUGCAUGAUGAGUUCCUGUAUGAUGAGAGCUUAAAUUCCUACCACAGCCAUAUAUACAUGCUUGCUAGACUUUGAGCCACACAUUUAUUAUUUACUGCUUAUGAGCAUUGAGUGUGGUCAAGCUGUGUAGACCCUUAGGAGCUUGUCAUGUGGUUAAAUCAAGAUUUCACUUGCACGUUCACUCAUAUAUGCUACUUCUACUCCAGAAGUACCAUCCACAUAUAUCCAUCCAUUUCCAUCUCCAGAAUCACCCAAAAAUAUUCUGCUCCUAAUCCGGGAGAGAAUAACCAAAAAUAUUUCUGUUUCCCCUUGUGAAAUAAAUGCUCAAGUUAUCUUGUUACUACCACUUGCUAUAUUAUCUCAAGAGAUGAGUGCUCUAAAAAAAAGAGAAGAAAAUAAAAAAAAUAUACGAGGAAAUAAAAAGGAGCAAGUGCUCGGAACCUCGAAAGAAAAGGAAGAGUGAGACGAGAGGUAAAAAUGGACAAGUGUCCGACAGUAGAAUUAGGGGUGCGAGAACCCACCUGAGAGACAAGAAAAAUAAGAGCAUCUCAUUCUCCUCAUAAAGUUUCAAAAGCAAGGAAGGUAUGUAUCCCCUCAAAAGAGCAAAGUAGAAUUAGACUUCCACCACCAUUGUUUUCACCAUUGUUAUCACCAUCAUCACCAUACACCAUUCAUUCGCCACACAUGCACAUCUUGAUUUGACUUAUUGAUUUGUUUCUUUGGAUCCAUGGUUUGACUAUACAAUAAAUGUCUUGUAAGUAUGUAUAUUUUAUCUCCCAUCUAUGAGCUCCAGAUAUUAAAGCCUUAUUAGGGUAGGGUGAGAGAGAAGGCAAUGUCACUAUGCCUUAUACCACAAAUACUACAUAUCUUGAGAGAAGGCAUAUACCAUCAAUGCCUUGGUAAGGAUCCAAAAAUACCACAAAAGAGAGACCUGAGAGAAUCAUACAAGGAAUCUCUGAGUUUUAUUUGAAAAUCUGUAAAAACCCCAGAGCUAUAGCUGAUCAAGAAUAAGAGACAUGGCACUUGGCUAGACUGUUCUGUCUUUUAACCACUCAAGACGGAAGUGACAGUUACAAGUCCCAUGGUGGAGGUAAAGUAAGUAAGUUUUAAGUCUUGAUAGUUUACUCUAACACAGAGAUGAGAUCUUAUUUAAAAGCAUGUGUACCGUCUAUUUUUUAAAAAUAUUGCAACAACUUAUGAUCCAUAGCUGAGUCUAUCCUUGCUCAGGGACGAGCAAGAGGUAAGCUUGGGGGAGUUUGUUGACGGUCCUUAAGUAUCAAAUUUAAUUAUCAAAUAAACAAAGAAAAGGAUCCAAAUGAAAUCAAGAUCCACACUUAGGGUUUUAUCUGACAGAAUUCCACGAGUUUUGGUGUUUGUCUAUUUCUGCAGGGGGUUAUCAGGAAAUACGGAAGAAAGGCGUACAUGUCGGGAUUACAUAGAGAUAUUAACGUGCUGCGCAAUUAACUUACAUCUAGAAGACUCUAGAAGCCACGAGACUGAAGCGGAGGCGAAACGGGGCCAGAGGCAGGGCGCCCGCCCUGUUCCCCUGGGCGCCCGCCCUCUCCAGGAGUCCAAUCAGGACUCUGCUUCGCGGGAGAUCUCCACCGACCUAAAGGAUGAAUCUAAACCAUACAAUCUAUGUCGGUUUGAUCCAAGGGCCCAUAUUCACUUGAAGGGACUAUAAAACCAGACCCCUUGGCCCCUGGAGGAGAGAGCCUCUCAACCCUAAUUCAUUGUUCCAUCAAGGGAGAAGAAGCCUCUGAUCAAGAUUAGAGCCACCACAUCAAUUAGAUAUCUAGAUUAGCAUAGCUACAUAGGAUUAGAACUAGAAGGAGUCAAUCUUCGAUUGGUUUCCGGAUCUGUCAAGAGGAUUCUUGGUAAUUCUCUAAUUGUGCUUCUAAUUGCUUUCUAAUUAUCUUUGAUCUUCAAUAUUAUGAAUAUGACUUUGUUCUACUUCAAUAUAUUGCUUAUGACUUUGCUCUACUUGCUUAUAUUCAAGAUUAUAUUGUUCUUAGUUUAUCAUAGUUAUGUACUUGGCUUAGUUAGAUUGGAUCUAUAUACAUGCUUAGGAUCGUAUAGCGUUUAUCCAUCGGAUCCAUGGGUAAAUGAUAGAUAUUGUGUAGGCGUGGUGCUUAUACCGUAUUCUUAUAUAGUCCCCCUCUCGUGUAUUGGGCUGGCAGAGCAACAUUAUUACAGGGGAGUGAUUGCUAUGUUUCUCAUAUUCCUUGCUAAUAUCACUAUGCAUGGGCGUAGUCUUGUCUCGCAAUGAUUGCUAAGUAUGCUUGCACUAACUAUGAUAUGCUAGACUAUAUAGUUGAGAAUAACUUAGGGAAUAUUCUUGUAGUUCGUUCUAAUACCGUGCUAAUGACUUUCUAGAGUAUCUAAUUGAGGUGCUUAUCAUAUUUAUUAUGUGGCUAGAUCAGAUUAGUUAUCCUUGUCACUAUUAUUACUUCAUAUAUCUUUUAUGUGACACUCAUCCCUAUAUGAAGAAUUAGAUAUAAUGUUCUCAAUUAUACAUGCUACGAUAGAUACUCAAUCUCAUAUUCUAUUCUGUAAUCAUUAGUGAUGAUUGCUAAUCCCUUCCCAGUGGUAAAAAUAUAAAUAACGAUACCUGGAAUACUUCCCGGUUAAAAUGCUGCAUCGGUAUUAAUCUGUGCGCUUGUAGAUCCAAUUUAUUAUUUAUUUAGAAGAGCAAUUGCAUAUUUCAAUACCGCUUCUCUUAUAUCAUGCUGGGGAUGACAACUUGGCUUAAGUGGUGUGAGGGAUAGGUUUGGCAUUUUUGGCACCGUUGCUAGAUUUAGAACUUAGUCUACUUUUAGUAAUGAUGUUAAGAAUACCCAACAAUCACCACUCCUAAACUAGGCAACAUGCUUCAUUUAAGAGAUGUAUGAAAUGACUCAAAACCUAAAUAUAUACUAUAACAAACAAAGGUAGCAUGAGAGCAUAAUAGAUGUUUUACUCAAAUAGUGAUGAUAGAGCAUGAUUAUUGUUUAGCAAAUUGAGCAUAUCAUAUAGGUAGGGACAACCAAGAUGAUGUAGCAACAUGAAAAAGAUGUAUCUAUGGAAGCAUAUCCCCCAAGCUUGACUUUUGCAACAAUCAAGAUUGGAUGAAAGUAAUUCAAUGUUGCAUAAUGAUUCGUUAGACAUACCUUGCAUUUGUUACUCCUUCGAUCUUUUCCUCCAAACCUGGAAGGUUAGUGACAAGAAUACCCGAAGGAAUAUUUUCAUAAUUAUAAUGCUAUGCUCAAUUAACAAGGGUAGCAUAGUAGAAAGAUGAACACUCAUGUCAUGGCCUAAAUAGUCCUUGUUUUAGGACACAAAGCUUGUCCUUGGGAAACCUUCAAGAUUUGGUUUGGCGAAGUGGUUUCCCUUCCAAUACCACUCUAAGUGUAUUAUUCACCACACCGAGAUCUACAAUAUUUAUGGUAAAGAUAUGUGUCUACAACCACCCUUUCAAAAACUUUAGGAACAAGGAGCAUGAGGGGGUUGAAGAUCUCAUGUGGGGCAAUGUUAGAGAGAUUAAGUGAAUCAGGAGAUUUUUCAUAUGAGCAAGGGACAGAUGGGGUGUUGAUGAAGUCUCUUCCAAGCUCAUUGAAGUCUCCAUCAUUUUCUACUUGCAAGAGUGACUCGACAUGUAUGUCCAAAAAUUCCCUUGGGUCAUCUCUUGAAUUGAUCUUAUCUAAUGCCUUGUCCAUCCAUUCAAUGGCAAUACCAUAUAGGUUUUUAAUGCUCUCUAGCCAUGGAAGUUGCGCUCCUCAAUCUUCUGUAUGGCCUUGAUGAUUCCUAUGCAUGGGAUAUCUAGAUGGAUUUCUAGAAUCAUCAGGUGGUUUUGGAGAAAGAGCAUAGAAUAAGCCAUAGUGAUCAAGGAUGGGGUUAGAGAUGUGUUCAUAUUCAAUAUCUAAAGUUGCCAUAGAAGGGGAGAGGAUAAGAGUGGCUUCUAGAUGGCUUCCUCUCCUUCUAUGGCAUCAUUUGACAUGCCAUCCUUGAGUCUUUCUAAUUGUCCUUCAAAGGGAUUGGUUUUGAAAAGCUUUCUAAGAGAUCUCUUUUGAAGAUUCAAACUAUAAGCACUAAAAGAUCUCAUAUGAAGCUGGAAGUUUAAACUCCUCCCAAAAUCUUUUUGAUGGCAAAUUUGGAGUACUACUGGUUUGGCAUGGAUAGCUGAAUCAUCGAAUUGGAAUGUUUGCAAAGUGCCUACAAAAACAUCCUCUUCUAGUUUGGGGGAUGAUUCCUUCUCUAUCUCUAGGAUUUUAUAAUGCAAGGAGUGUGUCCACUCAUAAGGACAAACUGAAAGGUCCUAAUAUGGCUAGAGGGGUGAAUAGCCUAUUAAAAAAUUCUACAAACUCACUAGACCAAGAGGUUAGUAAAUAAAAAAGCAAAGCUUUUUGCUCUAGCUCUAAAGGAGUGUUUGCAAGCCACCUAUCUAAUAAUUCUAGUUCAUAUGAUCACUAGGCAUACAAGAGCUAUGUUGCUACAAAGCUACACUAGUGAACUAUGUUACACAAGGCAAGACUAGCAACUAAACUAGUUACACUACGAUGCAGUAAGUAAAAGGAGAGAAAGAGAUAUUUAUACCGCCGUGUAUGAGAUGAACCAAUCACCAAUAUAUGAAGAAUCAAGCACCGGGAGAAUGUCAAUCAAACACAAUUGAGACACCGAUGUUUCUCCCUAGGUUCACAUGCUUGUUGGCACGCUACAUCCCCGUUGUGUCGACAAAGACUUGGUGGUUUGGUGGCUAAGAGGUGUAGCAUGAACCUUGUCCUCACUAAGACACCGAAAGAACCUACCCACAAAUGAUGUAGCUUAAUGACAUGCGCAAUCCACUAAAGUUGCCUUUGGCUCUCUACCGACGUAGGCACCAAACCCCUCACAAUCACCGAGAGAUGGCCACGAACAAUGACCAACUUGUGCCAAUGCUCCUCCGCUACUCCAUGCCAUCUAGCUGGCGGCAAUCACCAAGAGUAACAAGAAAACCACAGCCCAAUCAAUCCCUAAGUGCCACUAGAUGUAAUCAAUCAAGCAAAUGCACUUGGAAACACACCCAAUCUCACAAAGAUGGUUAAUCUAUGAAGGAGAUGGGUGGGAGGUGUUUGCUUUGGCUCACAAGGAUGUCAAGUAUGCUAGAAUGCUAAGGGAGUGAGCCCCAAGCCAACCAACACGUAUUUAUAAGCCCCUCAAACAAAUAGAGUUGUUGGCUCUAUCAUUGGGCAAAAGACAGGACCACCGGACGCUCAAGCAGGUGCCACCAGACGCUCAACCCAUGCAUCCGGUGCUCCAGAUGCGGCCACGUGUUUGCUACUUGAACCUCACGUGUUGAACUCUAAUGGUCAUAUUUGAACCACCGAAUGCAGUCAAGUAGAUAUCGGACGCGUCCGGUGCACACCGGUCAUGUACGUAGAGAGGUUUGCAAAAACGCAGGAGCACUAGACUCACACCACCGAACGCUCCCUAAGCGUCUAGUGCUUUCAGUCAGAAACACCUACUGAAGACAAGUCACACCGGAUGCAUGAACAGGGUCUAGCCUGCGUCCAGUGCUGAGCGUCCGAUGCUCUACCCUAACAUCGCUAGAUACUGAUAGCACACCGGACACGCAGGCUCAUCGUCUGGUGCCUGCGAACUGAGCAUCCGGUGAGUGUUCUUUCAGAGAGAAACACUCCAGUGACUUCUCCAAACUUUCCACCGGCGCAAUAGAAAAUAUGCAUUUCAUUUUGGUAAUUGAUGACAACCCUUUUACAAAGACUUUCAAUAGAAAUUUGAAAGCAAUUGCUCCCCCUACAUAUGUGCUAAGAGUUUGGAUUUGAAAGCUUGCACAUAUUGCUUGAAUAGAAAAUAUAGGAGUCAAUUUCUACCAAGUGAUGCUAAGGUGUAAAGAAUGGACCUUUAAAGCAUGAUACCAAUCGGAGUUGCCAAUAUACAUCAUCCUUAGCACCAUUAGUAACUAGACAUUCACAAAACUAGAACACCCGGUGAGAUCAACAUUAUAAACAAGGUUCUAGUACCACUUGUGAAACAACCAAAAGUCUAGUUACACUACCUAUGCAUGCUAGUUUUUCAUUGUAUCAAUCAAACCUACAACUAGCAUACACCACACAAGCAAGGUAUUGGAGAGAAAACUUCUAAAGCUAAUGCAAAUGCAAGCAAGCAUAUAUAAUGCGCAUUCAAAUGCAACAUACAAGUUUAUGAGCUUGCUCCCCCAACUUGUGUGCGCAAAGUUUUUAAUUGAUCCCCUUCUUUUAUCACUUUUACUCCCCUAUCUUUGUACUUCUUUGUAAUUUCUCUCCCCCUUUAGUAAAUAUUUGGGAAAUCCUCUCCCCCUUUGUCAUUAAUGACCAUAAAAGGUGAGCUCAAAUUUUAGAUAGGUUAGUGAGAAACCAUGUGAAGUGAGAUUAUUUUACCAAAUUAGUCCAAUCUAGAUUACUUGCCUAAGAUAUUUAACUCGAUUUGAUCCAAGUACAAGCUUUUUCACACCUCCAAAUAAGGGUUAUCUUGUACCAUCUUGAGUUAAACACUUAUAGCUCAUAUUCUGGAUCAAACACUAGGGUUGCAAGCCGAAAAACAUGUCAUAUGCUACCGCUAGAUCAAGUCAAGCAUAGAAGCAAUAGUGGUACCAUACAAGAAUCAAAUUCAUUUGAUUUGCCUGAAUGAGCCUAAGACAUGUAAGGAAUAACUAGAUGCACUAAGCAAGUCCUUAGCAUAGGAUGAAUGACAUGCCAAACAAUUUUACCUUCCUUUACUCAAAGGAGAGGCAUGUCAUAUAAUGGAGUGCAUCAACUCAUAUUUGAGACAAGUAUGUUCAAUUCAUUCCUUAGCUUGCAAAACCUCUUCUCAUCAAGUGGCUUGGUGAAUAUAUCGACAAGUUGAUCAUCAGUCCCUAUACUCUCAAUGCAAAUGUCCCCUUUUUGUUGAUGAUCUCUUAUGAAAUGAUGGCGGACAUCUAUAUGCUUUGUUCUUGAGUGUUGAACCGGAUUGUUGGUGAGCUUCACGGCACUUUCAUUGUCACAUAGCAAUGACACUUGUUUGAAAAUUAUUCCAAAGUCCUUUAACAUUGCCUUCAUCCAUAGGAUUUGUGCACAACAACUACCGGCCACAAUGUAUUCUGCUAUGGCGGUUGAUAGUGCAACACUAUUUUGUUUCUUGGAUGACCAUGAAACAAGUGAUCUUCCCAAUAGUUGACAUGUGCCCAAUGUGCUUCUUCUUUCAACUUUGCAUCCCACAUAGUCCGAAUUGGAAUACCAUAAACCAACAUUUUGUGUAUGCUUCAAGUACCUCAAUAUUCCCUUUGUUUCCUUCCAAUGACUUUCUAUUGGUGAGGCUUGAAAUCUUGCACACAUGCAUACACUAAACAUGACAUCAAGUCUGGUCACAUAGAGUAGGCUUCCAAUCAUAGACCGAUACAACUUUUGGUCCACCAUAUUUCCACUUGUGUCACUAUCUAAGCUUCCAUUUGCUCCCAUUAGAGUGCUAAUUGAUUUUGUAUCACCCAUACCAAACUUCUUGAGCAUGUCUUUUAUGUACUUUCCUUGACUCACAAAUGUGUCAUUCUUCAAUUGCUUGAUUUGAAGACCAAGGAAGUAACUAAGCUCUCAAAUCAUUGACAUCUCAAAUUCAUGAGCCAUCAUGUUUCCAAACUCUUCACAAAAUUCUUGGUUCGUUGAUCCAAAUAUGAUAUCAUCAACAUAUAUUUGCAACAGAAACAUGUCCUUUGCCAAUCUUCUUGGUGAAGAGAUUGGUGUCAACCUUGCCCAUCUUGAAACCUUUAGAGAGUAAGAAAUCUCUCAGUCUCUCAUACCAUGCUCUAGGUGUUUGCUUCAAACCAUACAAUGCAUUUCUUACCUUGAAAAUAUGGUUGGGUUCCUUGUCAUCUUCAAAACCGAGAGGUUGCUCAACAUAGACUUCUUCAUUGAUAUAGCCAUUGAGAAAUGCACUCCUCACAUCCAUUUGAUAUAACUUGAUAUUAUGUGCACGAGCAUAGGCUAACAAGAUCCUAAUUUCCUCCAAUCUUGCAACCGGGGCAUAUGUUUUGUAACACCCUUGGUGUUAAGCAUGCACUUAGUCUCAUAAAACAUUCAUAAGCAUUCUCAUCAAGCAUGGCAUAAGCAUCACAUCCCAUGAGCACAAAAAUAAUUCAAGUGUUAUUUUAUGUGCUUUAUUUCAGGUGAAUUAAAUAUGUUAAAAAUAUUAUGAUUGCUUCUAAAAAUUGUGAAAUAUUCAAAUUAGGUUGAAAUAUGUGUUAGAAGAAUUAAGAGUAAUUUUGUGAAAUUUUUUUUGGAGCCAUAGGAUUUGAGAAAUGGAAUUUAUACAAAAAUCCCUAAAAUGAAUUUAUUUAAAAACCUAGAACUAGUUUUAAUCUGUGGUUCAAAUUCUAUUUGGAAUUUGGCUUUGCUUAUUAAAACAAAGUUGUAGGGAAUUUUAUGGGAGCAAUUCUUCUUUUUACCCCAGCCCCUGAAAAGUUUUAUAAAAGCUUCAAAAGUCUCAUUUAAACUUUUUGGAGACAAGGAAUUCAAAAAAAGGAAAAGGGGACAGGCGCUGCUGGGCCGACCCGCCUCCCUUUUGGCCCAGCAAAGCCACGCGGCCCAGCUCCCCCUCCCCCUCUCUCCCACGCGCGGCGCCCGCCUUCGUUCACCCGACGCCGGCCACGUGGCUGCCGUAUGUCGGCGUCGUGGACGCGCCGCGGCCGACCGGCUAUAACCUGGUCGGGACGCCGCCCCGCGCCUCCAGGCUCCACUCUGUCGACCCGCUCCUCUCUCCUUCUUCUUCCUCCACUCGCGAGCGCCGCAGCCGUAGCAGCUCCGCUGCAGCGCCAUCGCUGGAGAAGCUCCGCUGCUCACCGCCGGCCACGCCAGUGCCCCAACCUCAGCGCUAAGACCACCAUCGCACUCGUCUUCGCCGUGGUAAGCCUAUGCGAACGCUCUACCGAGGUGAGAGACUGCCGUGCGCCGUGAAUCGCUCUUCGGAGUUGCUCCGACCUCACCGGAGAGCUCCGCCGCGUCGGAUCCCGCUAGUCUACCUCUUUUCGCUCGCUUUUGGGUGCUUUAGGUCCGUAGUUCGAUGAGGAAGCUCGGAAGAGCACUCGCGCGUGUUCUACCGCCCCGGAGCAGCCUGGCCACGGCGAGCAGCGCCGCCGUGCCGCCAUGCAUGCUCGCGAGGGUGCUCCGGUCAUCCUCAGGUCGAUCCAAGGGCACCCCUCGGUGCGCCUCGCUGCGGGAGCACGCUGGUGCUUACCCCGUGGCCGAAGAUCUCGCCGUCGGCGAGAGCCGGCCGACCGAAGUCAGCCGGAGUGCUGCAUGGCUGACCCAUGGGGGCCACGACCCCUAGGUCCCGCCUGUCAGCACCUCUGCGGGUGUGGACCUGGGUAGAUCUAUCGUUUUCCGUUGGUUUUUCUUAAAUAAAGGUUUUUUAGAAUUUGUUUAAAUCUUGUAAAUUUCAUAACUUGAGUUCUACAGCUCCAAAAUUGGUGAAAUAAAUUUUGAUGAACUCUAUAAUUCCAGAUCUAUAGCUUGGUGUGGUUGCAUGCCAUGUUUGGACAACUUUUCUGUAUAUAUAUAUUUAAUCCAUGUUUUUGCUGAAUUUGGAAAAUACAUAGUAAUUAAAAUAUAGCUCAAAAAAAUAUGAAAAUUGUUUUGUUGGCUCUACAUGGGUGCUUAGGCUCUGGGAAAAUAUGUUACACAUUAUUUGCUGUAUGAAUUAUUUUAUGAUGAUUUAAAUGCUUGCAUGGCAGUGGUUUAUGAUUUUUAAUAAAUAAUUGGAUUAUGCAAUUAAUCUGGAAAUUUUUGUGGGUAUUUCUUAUGUUAACAAGUUAAUUAUAAAAAUGUGAAAUCUGCUGUUUGACACUUAUACCACAGUAGGGUAUUUAUACUUGAUUAUAUGGUUUGAUCUUGUGAUUUUUUGUAGCUCAAAAUAAAUGUCCAAAUAUUAUGAGAAAUUUAUGGUAGACUCUAUGGUUGACUAGUGAUCUGCUAUAAUUUAUGUGGAAUUUAUGGAUAAGCAGAAAUAUAUGCUAUUUUGUAGGCCUAAAAGUGGAUAAAUAAAUCAUGAAUUUGUUAUACAUAGAUUAAAUGAAGUAAAAUGAUGGUUGGUGUAUCUUGGAAGCAUCAUGUGAGUUUGCUGGUUAACCAUGAAUACAAUUUGUAGAAGAGGAUGCAAUAGAUGCUUAAUUCAAUUACAUGUUCUUGGAUGAUGUUGACUACCUUAUAGAAAUGACCACCUAUAUCAUCUAUGCACUAUGUCAUAGUCAUCUGUUACCCACUUGCAUAAGCAUUGCACCCCGGGCAUCUCGCACUCCACUCAUGAGCACACAUGCAUCAUACAGGCUCGCAGGAGAAUGAGGUGGGACCCGAGGAUCAAGAGGAGACCCAGGACCAGGAACCUCUGGGAGGACCGGAGCCCGGAGAAGAGCUGCAGGAGUGCCCGGAUCACAAGCCGAGCACGUUUGAGAAAGGCAAGCCCCGGAGCAUUCUAAGUCUCUCUAUUUCUCGCUAACAUAAAUGAUAUAUUAGGCUUGUUUUACUAUGUUGCAUUUAAGUGAUAGGAAUUGCUUGAUACCGUUGAUGCAUAUGUACUCCUUGAUAUCACCACUUGUUUACCUACCUUGUCCUUUGUAGAUAGGAACGGAAUCUACGCUUAGCUUGCUUAGUCCGGUAGAAGUUAGGUGAUUUCCUGUCACCUGCGAGAUAUAGGUGGAUACCUGCUUGAUUAGCGGUGAUUGCUUUGGGAAAGGGUAACCAAGUGUGGAAAGGAAUUUGAGACCGGGCAGAGUCUUACGGUGGGUUGAUCAUAGUGCCCCCACCUGUGUCGAUUAAGGACCGAUCGUUGAUGGCCCUCUUGUCAUGUUGAACGCAUGCCCCACACUUAGCUAGAAGGAUAAGUCGUUCCGACCGCGAAGCCUGAACACUAUCCGGGCCGGGAGUCAAGCCGCCAUGCGCUAUAUUGGUGAUGGUUGAGGAGAACGACGAGGGCGCGGCACGCAACCUUGGUAUACCUUGGAUACCUCGGUCGCCGGAACGGUCCUCGGGUACUGGCGGUGCCUGCCGAACCCGCAAAUUGGUCCUAGAUAGUGUAACACGGUGAUCUGUAGCUCACUUGAUCAGUGAGUGUGGUUUAUGUGGGGAAUAACUCGCCAGCUGGUUAGAAAUCGAUUCGAAUCGCCAUCGCUCCUGGAUAGUGAGCACUUGACAUGAGCUUCGUCCUCGUAGUAAGGACUAUGGAACACUUGGGUUAUAAAGAUAACUGAUUUAUGAAUGCUAUGAUGAGGUACCAUCAUAAUACUACCUUUGGUUACAAUAGUACAGGUGCAAACCUAGAAAAUAGGUAAUGAUAAUUGUUGACGGUCCUUAAGUACUAAAAUUAAUAAUCAAAUAAACAUGAAAAAGGAUCAAUAUGAAACAAAAAUCUAGAAUUAGGGUUUUAUCUAACAGAAUUCCACGAGUUUUGGUGUUUAUCUAUUUCUGCAGGGGUUUAUCAGAAAAUAUGGAGAGAAGGCCCACAUGUCAUGUUUACAACGAGAUAAUUACGUGCCGCGCAAUUUUCCUCAAUCUAGAAGGAUCCAGAAGCCACGGGAACGAACAGAACGCAAUUCGGGCUCGGGAGUUGGGCGGCCGCCCACCCCCCUUGGGCGCCCACCCUGGCCAAGAGUUGGAUCAGGACUCUCUCUCAGGACAACUCUCCACCGACCUAAAGGAUCAAUCUAAACCAUACAAUCUAUGUCGGUUUGAUCCAAUGGCUCACGUUCACUUGAGGGGACUAUAAAACCAGACCCCCUGGCCCCUGGAGGAAGAGAGGAGAAAUCAUUAUUCAGAGGUAGCCAUCAAAGUUAGGAUUUAGAUCUCUCUCCCACAGAGAAUUAGAAUUAGCUACUCCCUAAUCCUUCAAGUUUAGAGGUUGAUUAGAUAGCAAUUAGAGAAGUAGAGCACUACGCUCUGGAUUCGGAUCUUCGGUAAUAAAGAUUUGUAUUAUUCAUAUCUUUCUCUAAUUCUAUUGUUCUAAUUGCAUUAUGUCUCUAAUUAUUAUGUUCUUAGUUUGCUCUAGUUCUAUAUUUGAUAUAGUUCUAAUUGAUAAUGAGUUUAUGUAUAAGUUUGCAAAGCGCUUAGCUCUUGACGCGAGGGAGUUAGGUGAUAGAUCACAUGUGAGCGUGGUGCUUAGAUGUUAUUUAUCUGCAAAUGUAUCCUAUUGGCCGAGUCGUGUGGUAGUUCGUGAUAGUGACAGCUUCGUUGAUUCUUAUAUAGUCCACCCUCCAUUGAUAGGACAGGCAGAACCGGUAUUGUGGAGUAAGUCAUGCGAUGUUCUGAUUUACUUUAUCAAUGUUCCUUAUACAUGAAUGAAGAGUCUUUUAUGCUAUAUAUGAUCUUGUAGAUAACUAGAGUAGAUUAUAACUUAGUAGUUAGUAGAUAACUUAGAAUCCAUUCUCUAGCUAAUCCGACAUCACCUACAUAUAUGAGGAGUAGUCUAUUUUCUAAUCGCUGUGUUAUCUACCCAUGAACUUAUACUUUAUUAUCAUUAUCUUUAUGGUUUACCCCCUGCUAAAGUAAGUGACUGUGUGACGAGUUUCUCAUUAGUAAUCAUGUUCUUGCAAGUUUAUCUCUAGUCUAUGCCUUGAUAGAUUUUGCCCCUUUGAUUUAAUUCCAUCUUCUUUAGAUCCCUAGAGCAAAAUUAUAAAUAACGAUACCUGGAAUACUUAUCCUGGUGAAAUGCUACAAUGAGGUGUUUUAUCUGUGCGCUUGCGGAUAGAAUAGAUUAUUUUCUAAAGAGCCUUUACAUUUAUAAAUACCUUUGUACACUCUGGCGCCAUGCUAGGGAUGACAACCUAGUAUCUAAGUGGUGUUAGCUAGUGUCAACAAGCAUUUCUGGCGCCGUUGCCGGGGAGGUAUACGAGUCUCCGGAAUAAGUCAUUAAAGGGAACAAAAGGGUAAUAUUAAGGAAAGUCAGAAAAUCAAUCAAGGUUAUUCAUAUAAAAUAUUAGACUAGACUAUAGAGAAAUAAUUGCAUAAAACAGCUACUAAGUGAGAAAUCAUAACAAGGCACCGCUGCUUUGGCAGGUUCACCCUGUUGUUUUUCUAUGUUUAUAUUUUUAUACAGGGUAUAACAGGAUUGACUUUGGGUACAUUCAACUCUUCAUCAUCAGAACCAAAGCAAUCAAGAGAAGAAGAAGCUAGCUACCAAUUGCUGAAGCUAUGGCACAAAAGACCUUGCAAGAAUUCUCUGCUCCAAGCCUUGAGAACAUUCUAACUGGUCCAAGAUUUGCAGUAGAAGAAGGAAUACCUGAGUUUGAGCUCAAGUCAAGCCUCAUCAAUUUGGUACAAGCUACACAAUUCAGUGGAAAGGCACAUGAAGAUGCCAGUGCACACUUGCAGAAUUUCUUAGAGAUUGGAAGCACAAUCCACAUCAACGGAGUUGACAAAGACGUCAUACUGCUUCGCCUUUUUCCAUUCUCACUAGAAGGAAAAGCGAGGAAGUGGUUCUACACUCAUCAAGAUAACAUCAACAACUGGACGAACUUGUCAGAUGCGUUUCUAUCAAAGUUUUUUCCUAUAGGCAAAACAACUGCCUUAGGAGGAAAUAUUGUCAGUUUCCAACAGCAGAAGACAGAAGCCAUUUCAGAAGCAUGGGAGCAUUUUCAAGGAUACAUAUCAGAUUGUCCUCACCAUGGAAUGGCCACAUGGUUACUUAUGCAGACCUUCUACCAUGGAUUAACCCAGAAGGCUCGUGAGUGCCUAGAUGCAUCUGCUAAAGGAUCAUUCUUGGAGCUUACAACUGGAAAAGCAGAAAUACUUUUGGAUAAGAUAGCAGAAAACCAAAGCUGGUUCCAAGAUAAAGCUCAACAUUGUCAUCAAACUGAAGAAAUACCAGAAGAAGUAAAUGCAUUAUCAACUAAGAUGGAAAAUUUGCUCCAUUGGAUUGACCAGAGGGCCAAGUUCAAAGAAGAUCAAAGGGCCAUUGAGACAGCAUACAAAUAUCAACCAACUUCGAGUCAACCCAAUAGCAAAGGUAUGAAUUCAGGUAAUACUGUCAAGCAACUUUCAUUAAAAGAGAUAAUUGCUCAACAAACCAAAAUUAAUGAUGAAGUUAAACAAAGGCUAGAUACAAAUGAAUCAUCUCUAAAAGAUAUAUAUAAUAAAAUGGAUUUUCUACUAACUGCCUUUGAUGAGCAAAACACUCUUAAUAAAAGGGUAGAGCUUAAAUUAAUAAAAUUAUCUGCUGCACUGCCUGUUGCUACUAACAUUGAGCAGGUAAAGAAUAUAACUACUAGAGGAGGCAAAGCUACCAGAGAUCCACCAUACCCAAAAGAGAAACAAAGAACAUCAGCACCAGUGCAACCAGCAGUGAUAGAAGAAGAAAGCCCAGUUGAAGCAGAAGAUCUGCUACAACCACCAAGAACUGGAGAAAUGAGGAAAGAUUUUUACGACACCAACUAUUUGCCAUUUCCCAGAAGAAACAGAGGACUGCAGUCGGAUGAGCAGUUUGGUAAGUUUGUAGAGGUCAUUCAGAAAUUAUAUGUCAACAUACCUCUACUUGAUGCCAUACAGGUACCUACAUAUGCAAAGUACAUCAGAGAAAUUCUUAACAAGAAGAGACCACUGCCCACCACUGAGGUUAUCAAGCUGACAGAAGAAUGUAGUGCGGCCAUCCUCAACAAACCACCAAAGAAGAAGGAAGAUCCAGGAUGCCCCACUAUUGACUGCUCGAUCGGAAACCAAAACUUCAACAAUGCACUUUGUGAUCUCGGAGCAAGUGUCAGUGUGAUGCCAGCAUCAGUCUACAAAAAGCUUGAGCAUGCAACCUUAGAACCAACAUCAAUGUGCCUACAACUAGCGGAUCAAUCGGUUCGACACCCGUUGGGCAUCGCCGAGAACGUUCCAGUCAAGAUCAGAGAUUUCCUGGUGCCAGUAGAUUUCGUAGUACUGGACAUGAGUCCUGACUCGAAAGUAUCCAUCAUCCUUGGAAGGCCAUUUCUGAGCACUACCAAUGCCCACAUUGAUGUUGGGAAGGGAGAAAUCAAGUUCAACAUAAACGGUCAAGAAGAACACUUCACAUUCAAACCCAGACCAGAGAGAGACUCUAUAGUGAAGGAAGUUCAUGAAGAACCACUAGAGACACCAUCUCCGGAGGAAGAAAACUCAGAAGAUUAAAAGAAUUGGAGGUCCAGCUUGGGGGACCUAAAAAUCCCAAACCCUCACCGGGAGGUAAAUCGGUAUUUAUCCGCAUUAUUAAUUUUCUCAUAUUUAAAUUCUUGCAUAAUUAAUUCUUGCAUUAGUCAUAGCAUAAUUAUAAUAAUAAAAAAGCCCCAGAUAAAUAAUAUUCGUGGUGUGUAACAACCCAUAUUUAUUAAUUAUCGUGGAGGCACAAAAAUAUUUUCCAUUAUCAUUUUAAUUAAUUUUCAAUUCUCAUAGAUUUUCCUGCAUUAUAUUUAAUCAUAUUAAUCUUCUAGAAGCAUGACCCACACUCUUUGGGUCCCACAUGUCAUACACUUCACCUCACAUACAUCCCAUCACAUAAUUUCAUCCACCAAUAUGUUUCCACUCACUUGACAUCUUUCCACCGUCCAACCACCACCAACACAAUAUUAUUCUGCGUGAGAUCAAAGCAAGGAAGCAAGUGGAGGAGGCACACCCAGGAUGGACACCACAAGUGGGUGCCCGCCCACCUACCUUGGGCGCCUGCCCUGUUCCCUGCUCAGCUUAUAAAAGGCCACCUCCAACUCCCCUUCUCUUCACACAAACACUUCAGAAAACCACACAAAUCUCAGUUUCCCGAGAAGGAGUUCUUGUAGUGAAGAGAAGAGAGUAGAGAGAAAGAGGAGAGUGGAAGGGAAGGUUGGAGUUCUUUUGAGAAAGUGAUUGUCACCUAGCAAAUAGUGAUCCCGCUGUCCAAGCGGAAGUAAAAGUUGUUUAGGGGGAGGCUCUACCAAAAUAGAAACUUGUCUUGAACGAUUAACCCCUGGACUACUGACACUCCGGACAACUAACCACUAACAUUUUAUCUCACAUUUUCCACUAGUUGUGUUUUUGCCAACUUUUGUUUGCAGGAUGUUUAAGAAGGUGAAGAAUGCAGGGAAGGCUCUUAAGAACAUUGGUACAAGGAGUUCAACCCGACACUCCUCACAGCCAUCAGAGAUGAGCGUCGAUCCGACACCCACACAAGCUCCAUCAUCUUCAUCAGGUCAACAAGUUAAGGUUCUUCUCAAGAUAGGAGACCUUGGACUGAAGACCCGAAGAGAGAAGGAAGUUUAUCAGCAAUUGAAGAACAAGGAUUUCAUUCACACCCCUACUAUCGAUCCAAUCCUACUACGAGAAACAGGUAUGGACACUGAAUUUGACUUAAUUUUUCAGAUGAUGGGUUGGACAAAUUUUUGGAAUAUAACUGAGCUGGGUUCUCGUCUUCUCACCCUCGAAUUUCUUUGCACUUUACAAUACUAUGAGGGGGGAAUUGUUUUUUGGACGUUCAAACAGGAAAUUAUGUUAUCUUGGAGAGAGCUGAGCGACCAUCUUGGUUUCUCUUCAAGAUGCAUCCUGAACAUUGACUCCGAUUUACCCAACUUUGAGAGACACCAGUUUUGGAGAGAAAUAUCUAGAGAUAAUUAGCCCGAACUAGUGACAUGGAACACCCCACUCUCAGGAUGUUUCACAAAUGGCUUGGGUACAAUCUUUUCUAUCGCGAUGAUAUUAGGAAAGUAAGAGUAGGAGAUUUACAACUUUUAUAUGCUGCUAUUAGUAAAGUACCUACUUCACCUGUUACACUAUUAGUUUCACAUUGGCUUAGUAUACCUAGUCUUCAGGGACCAGUAGGAUGUACUUCACUUAUCACUCGUCUAGCCACUAAUCUUCACUUACUAGAAAACUCGUCAUUGGACUUCAUAGAAGAAUUAAGAAUUUAUCAUGGCUAUGACACAUUUAGACAAGCUCGGAUGUUAAAGAAAGAGGGAAAUAUAAUGUAUAUGCUAUAUGAUGAUAAAGGCAAGAUUCGGUUACCUAACCCGAACCUUGGCCUCUACGCUGUGCAAAACUUUUUGAUUGAGAUUGCAUCAACACCAGUGAACCAGAGAACUCCACAGCGAGUGGCAUCUGAAAGGAUAACCACUCACCGAGAACGCACUUGGUAUGGAGCUGAUCCUGGACCAGAAGAAGCAGCGCACCUGCAUUAUUGCGAUUACAAUCCACGAGUCCUUCGAGACCCAUGGGAUCGUCAUGCACAACCACAACAGCCAACAGAGGAGACAUGGCCGGAGAGCAAAGAUCACCAGUGGACAAACCCGCCUUUUCAUACGGGCAGGUACUCCACUGAUCCAUAUGGAGCUUCAGGAUCCAGACCUCCGCCCUAAUUUGAUGCAGGACGAUACUCCGACGCCUCCUACGCCUUCACGAAUGACUACUAUCAAGAGGCCGGUGCUUUCUUCACUCGUACCGACAACACCCUCCUCGACAUUCAGAACACGCAAGCAGAACAUGGAAGACUCCUGGAAGAGCAACAAAAAUGGAACCAGAACCAUGCCGCAGCAGUAGAAGAGCUGAGACAAGAUACAACAACAAUGAACGACAACAUCACAACCAUGAUGCGGUUCUGGAACAUCGGGUAAGACCGACGUCAACAUCCAGCUUGGGGGAGUUCCUCCUCAAUUUAUCAAGUAUUUGCUCUUCUUAUUUAUUCUAUUCUGUCUUAGUAUUUAAUUUAUCUUAAAAGGAAAAACUUAGAAAACCAAAUAAAUAUUUUCUUGCUUUAAUUCACUGCACUUUAAUAAACAUGAAAACAAAAUAAAAAGAGUGUGUAGAUAAGUGUGCUUUAUUUUCCUGCUAAGUUUAAUCUCUAAAAAAAAUAAAAAAAAUAAAGACCAAAAAUAUGCAUGAUGGAAAUGAUGAACAGUUGCUCUGUUUGCUUACUUACAAGUACCUAGCUUUUAUAUUAGAAUUCUUCCAGGAAUUACUAAAACUAAAAUCACUAUCUUUGGGAAGCAUAAAACUAAAGUCUAGGUAAGAGAAAGGCAUGAUAUAAAGUUGAGCUGCUGUUUAUCUUGUUCCUACUACACUAAAUUCUGGAGAUUUAUUUUUGAAAACUUGCAAAUCACAUGAUGAGUUCCUAGCAUAACAAACUACCUACCAUAGCCAUACUUGCUAUAACAUCUUUUACUAUAUUUACAUUGAGUUUGAUCGAGCUGUGUUGACCCUUAGGAGCUUUUCAUGUGGUUAAAUUAAGAUAUUCACUUGCACACAUCUACUACACCAUUCAUCAUCAUUCAAAUUGCUAAAAAUAUUAUCACUCACUGUCCCGCGUAUUGUUAUUUUCUCUCUCUAAAAAGAUUCAAUGCAGAAGAGGCAUGGGUUAUGCAAAAAUAUAUACGAGGAAAUAAAAAGGGGCAAGUGCCCGGGAACCUCGAAAAAGAAAGAAAAAGAGUGAGACGAGAGGUAAAAAUGGACAAGUGUCCGAAGUAGAAUUAGGGGUACAAAGAUGCCCACUUGAGCGGAAAAAAUGGACAAGUGUCCGACAGUAGAAUUAGGGGUAUCUACUACCCACCUGAAAAAAAAAGAAAAGAGAAAAAAAAGAAAAGAUAGCCCAUGUUCUCCCAAAGCAAAGAUCAAAAAGAAAGAAGAGAGAUAGCAAUAUGAGGAGCAAUGAGAACCAAAUUUUAUUAUCACUUAUGCAUUUCCACCAUCAUUAACAUUUACUCCACCACACAUGCACAUCUUGAUUUAAUUAUAUGCUGAGUUUCUUUGGAUCCAUGGCUCGAUUAGACAACAUAUGUAUGAGCUGUUUGUUUUUUUUCACUCCUAUGAGCUCCACUUAAAUAUUUCAUUAGCUAUAGGUAAGUGACAUUAUGGUAAGGAUCCACAAAUACCACAUAUAGAGAGACUUGAGAGAAUCAUUGCUGGGAACUCUGAGUUUUAUUUUGAAAACUUAUGAAAAACUCUGGAACAAAAGUGAAGUAUAGACAAGAGGGAUAGUGCUUGACUUAACUAUUUUGUCUUUCGAUUACUUAAGAUUUAAGUGCAGGUACUAAACUCCAUAACACUUCACUCGAAUCUGGAAGAAUUUUUAUGUAAAAGCAUGUGUGCCUGUCAGGAAAGAAAACAUCAAAGCAACUCCUGAUCCGUCUUAGUUUAGCUGUUUGCUCAGGGACGAGCAAAGGGUAAGCUUGGGGGAGUUUGUUGACGGUCCUUAAGUACUAAAAUUAAUAAUCAAAUAAACAUGAAAAAGGAUCAAUAUGAAACAAACAUCUAGAAUUAGGGUUUUAUCUGACAGAAUUCCACGAGUUUUGGUGUUUAUCUAUUUCUGUAGGGGUUUAUCAGAAAAUAUGGAGAGAAGGCCCACAUGUCAUGUUUACAACGAGAUAAUUACGUGCCGCGCAAUUUUCCUCAAUCUAGAAGGAUCCAGAAGCCACGGGAACGAACGGGACGCAAUUCGGGCUCGGGAGCUGGGCGGCCGCCCACCCCCCUUGGGCGCCCGCUCUGGCCAGGAGUUGGAUCAGGACUCUCUCUCGGGACAACUCUCCACCGACCUAAAGGAUCAAUCUAAACCAUACAAUCUAUGUCGGUUUGAUCCAAUGGCUCACGUUCACUUGAGGGGACUAUAAAACCAGACCCCCUGGCCCCUGGAGGAAGAGAGGAGAAAUCAUUAUUCAGAGGUAGCCAUCAAAGUUAGGGUUUAGAUCUCUCUCCCACAGAGAAUUAGAAUUAGCUACUCCCUAAUCCUUCAAGUUUCGAGGUUGAUUAGAUAGCAAUUAGAGAAGUAGAGCACUACGCUCUGGAUUCGGAUCUUCGGUAAUAAAGAUUGGUAUUAUUCAUAUCUUUCUCUAAUUCUAUUGUUCUAAUUGCAUUAUGUCUCUAAUUAUUAUGUUCUUAGUUUGCUCUAGUUCUAUAUUUGAUAUAGUUCUAAUUGAUAAUGAGUUUAUGUAUAAGCUUGCAAAGCGCUUAGCUCUUGACGCGAGGGAGUUAGGUGAUAGAUCACAUGUGAGCGUGGUGCUUAGAUGUUAUUUAUCUGCAAAUGUAUCCUAUUGGCCGAGUCGUGUGGUAGUUCGCGAUAGUGACAGCUUCGUUGAUUCUUAUAUAGUCCACCCUCCGUUGAUAGGACAGGCAGAACCGGUAUUGUGGAGUAAGUCAUGCGAUGUUCUGAUUUACUUUAUCAAUGUUCCUUAUACAUGAAUGAAGAGUCUUUUAUGCUAUAUAUGAUCUUGUAGAUAACUAGAGUAGAUUAUAACUUAGUAGUUAGUAGGUAACUUAGAAUCCAUUCUCUAGCUAAUCCGACAUCACCUACAUAUAUGAGGAGUAGUCUAUUUUCUAAUCGCUGUGUUAUCUACCCAUGAACUUAUACUUUAUUAUCAUUAUCAUUAUGGUUUACCCCCUGCUAAAGUAAGUGACUGUGUGACGAGUUUCUCAUUAGUAAUCAUGUUCUUGCAAGUUUAUCUCUAGUCUAUGCCUUGAUAGAUUUUGCCCCUUUGACUUAAUUCCAUCUUCUUUAGAUCCCUAGAGCAAAAUUAUAAAUAACGAUACCUGUAAUACUUAUCCUGGUGAAAUGCUACAAUGAGGUGUUUUAUCUGUGCGCUUGCGGAUAGAAUAGAUUAUUUUCUAAAGAGCCUUUACAUUUAUAAAUACCUUUGUACACUCUAGCGCCAUGCUAGGGAUGACAACCUAGUAUCUAAGUGGUGUUAGCUAGUGUCAACAAUAAUAUCAAACUUGAGCUAAUUAAAAGAAGAAAGGUUUUCUUUAGGCUAUGAUUAGUGGAACAAUGCUUUUAUGCAAAAAAAGUCUUAGCUACUCCCUCAUACAGCCUUCAUGAUCCUUGAGGAGUCUUUAUUUUUGGUUUAUGACGGGUAAGUCUAGCUGAGUACAUUCUCGUACUCAGGGUUUUAUUCCCAUGUUGUUUUGUAGAUGGUCAAAUGUAUUAUGGAUAUUGCAUCCUCUGCUUGUACCCAGCAGUGGGCGAGGACUAGACCAAGGGCGAUGGUCACUCUAACUUCUCUUGUGCUUUUGUGGGAAUGACCGAACUAUGGCACUGUAUCAAACUAAAUGUGUGUGUGUGUUACUUUCAAACUAUGAAGCUUCCGCUACUUGAGAAUUUGGUUUGUAAUAAUUUUUAAGUACUCCGAUGUGUUCGUUAAAUGAUAUGAACUGGAUGUAAUUGUGAAUGGUGACUGCUAAACUUAUUACGAUCUUGGCUGUAUGUGCGAUAUGUGGUUUGAAAUCCUUCGAGAUUUCACGAACUACUGGAAUUAUAUGGGCUUAUGCUUGAUGGUUUGACUGUGCAAAUGGUCACUAUUAGGCUUAAUCUCUUAUAAUUUGGAUGGUUCUGUUACAGCUGGUAUCGGAGCAAGGUUUAGCGAGUUACUAUGCAUUAGUACGUUCUAACUAAACUUAAACCGGUUUAAUAAAAGAUUAUUAUAAUUAAUGAUAAUCAAGGUGUCAAACUAAGUUUUUGGAAAACUAUCUGGUGUGCCAUUUGCAUAUCCUUUAUGCCCAGUUAAGGACUCUAAGGUGGCUAGUUAAGUACUGACUUGGGGGUUAAUGCAUCAUAUUUCUAUUUCAUCUCAUACGGCGUGCAAUGGUAUGAGUACCAUUCAUUUGAGUGGUAAUGUAUGGAUCAAUUCUUCCUCUACGCCUCGGUAAUUGGGAGCUGUGAGAGCAUGAUCGGAUACACUGCCGAUCUAGGGAAGUGUUGUUAAGGUGCUGUGUCAUGCACACAUGUUUGGUGUGCCUGGGAACAAUACCGCAUGUUGGGAGAUUCUGUCCUAAGAGGCGAUGCCGUCACUAGGGCGAUGAUGUGGGUAGUAACACGUCAUAUGCAUGGACGGGGUGUCUAUGUAUGUGGGGUGUAUAGUUUUAAAUUCUUGUUCUGCACUAACCACGUUCCCGCCUAGAACGCUAGUUACGUAUGAGAGAACGUUGUGUGCCACCGCAUAUACUGAUUAGUGUCAACUUUAUUUCUAAGUUUGUGAGAUCGUAAGUCUGUGCAUGCAUCAUGUUCAUUUCAUAUCAUUGCUUACUUCCCUCCCUUAAAGUAAAUUUGUCCCAAUUUUAAUUAAGUUAAUAAAAGGUACUCCUCAAUCUUACCCAAGGUAUUCCAUUUUCAGCAGAUGGCGCGCACUAGGCUCACCGCUCGCAAGUCCACUAGUGGGCGGGCCCCUCGCCAUCAGUUGGCAGCCAGGAGCUCGCGUCAUAAGAGCAAGUUCUUGGAGGAGUUUGGGAUGCCCACCUUGCUAUGGAGGGUGCUCAGUUCGUUGGGGUAUCUCGAAGGAAGGGAACCUCGUUACUAUUGGAACAAGGAGCAGCUUGGUGACGGGACCCUGGUUGGGUGUAUGAUUCCCAAGGUACCACGCCUUUCCACGGUGCCAGCAGAGCAGCUUUCGCAGUUCUGAGGGACCUCAUGGAGAGGUUUCCACAGGAGCUGGCCCACGCCUUCGCUGGGUGUUUCCCCGGGGUGACCCCUACACUUUGGUGUGGGAUCAGUCCGAGGUGAAUGUUGACGGUCCUUAAGUAUCAAAUUUAAUUAUUAAAUAAAUAAAGAAAAGGAUCCAAAUGAAAUUAAGAUCUAGACUUAGGGUUUUAUCUGACAGAAUUCCACGAGUUUUGGUGUUUGUCUAUUUCUGCAGGGGGUUAUCAGGAAAUACGGAAGAAAGGCCCACAUGUCGGGAUUACGUAAAGAUAUUAACGUGCUGCGCAAUUAUCUUACAUCUAGAAGACUCCAGAAGCCACGAGGCCGAAGCAGAGGCGAAACGGGGCUAGACCCUGGGCGGCCGCCCAGUUGGUCAGGGCACCCGCCCACCUCCUGAGUCCAAUCAGGACUCUGCUUUGCGGGAGAUCUCCACCGACCUAAAGGAUGAAUCUAAACCAUACAAUCUAUGUCGGUUUGAUCCAAGGGCCCAUAUUCACUUGAAGGGACUAUAAAACCAGACCCCCUUGCCCCUGGAGGAGAGAGCCUCUCAACCCUAAUUCAUUGUUCCAUCAAGGGAGAAGAAGCCUCUGAUCAAGAUUAGAGCCACCACAUCAAUUAGAUAUCUAGAUUAGCAUAGCUACAUAGGAUUAGAACUAGAAGGAGUCAAUCUUCGAUUGGUUUCCGGAUCUGUCAAGAGGAUUCUUGGUAAUUCUCUAAUUGUGCUUCUAAUUGCUUUCUAAUUAUCUCUGUUCUUCAAUAUUAUGAAUAUGACUUUGUUCUACUUCAAUAUAUUGCUUAUGACUUUGCUCUACUUGCUUAUAUUCAAGAUUAUAUUGUUCUUAGUUUAUCAUAGUUAUGUACUUGGCUUAGUUAGAUUGGAUCUAUAUACAUGCUUAGGAUCGUAUAGCGUUUAUCCAUCGGAUCCAUGGGUAAAUGAUAGAUAUUGUGUAGGCGUGGUGCUUAUACCGUAUUUAUCUGCGAUUGUACCCAAUAUGCCAGAUCAUGGGGUGGUUCGUGAUAGUGACAGCUUCAUUGAUUCUUAUAUAGUCCCCCUCUCGUGUAUUGGGCUGGCAGAGCAACAUUAUUACAGGGGAGUGAUUGCUAUGUUUCUCAUAUUCCUUGCUAAUAUCACUAUGCAUGGGCGUAGUCUUGUCUCGCAAUGAUUGCUAAGUAUGCUUGCACUAACUAUGAUAUGCUAGACUAUAUAGUUGAGAAUAACUUAGGGAAUAUUCUUGUAGUUCGUUCUAAUACCAUGCUAAUGACUUUCUAGAGUAUCUAAUUGAGGUGCUUAUCAUAUUUAUUAUGUGGCUAGAUCAGAUUAGUUAUCUUUGUCACUAUUAUUAUUUCAUAUAUCUUUUAUGUGACACUUAUCCCUGUAUGAAGAGUUAGAUAUAAUGUUCUCAAUUAUACAUGCAAUGAUAGAUGCUCAAUCUCAUAUUAUAUUCUGUAAUCAUUAGUAAUGAUUGCUAAUCCCUUCCCAGUGGUAAAAAUAUAAAUAACGAUACCUGGAAUACUUCCCGGUUAAAAUGCUACAUCGUUAUUAAUCUGUGCGCUUGCAGAUCCAAUUCAUUAUUUAUUUAGAAGAGCAAUUGCAUAUUUCAACACCGCGUCUCUUAUAUCAUGCUGGGGAUGACAACUUGGCUUAAGUGGUGUGAGGGAUAGGUUUGGCAUUUUUGGCACCGUUGCUAGAUUUAGAACUUAGUCUACUUUUAGUAAUGAUGUUAAGAAUACCCAACAAGCAUUUUUGGCGCCGUUGCCGGGGAAGGUUGAUUACUAAUCAGGAAUGGAAUAAAAAGAUUUUGAGUUAUCAUUCGCAUCACUAAUAUGAUUGAGCUUAUCUAUUCUAUCAUACAGUUUUACCCCGAUAUUUUUCUAUUUUAUCUUAUGCAGGGGAAUGUAUGAAUAGAAGACAUCUUCCAGGAAAUUUUGUUGACAAUCCUGAAGCAUUAUUCAAGAAGAUGAGAGCCAAGCUAAAGAAAUCAUCAACACUUCACGAAGAAGCUUCAUCCAAUCAAGAAGAUCACCGGAACUUGUCUUCAGAGUUCGAAGCCAUGGCGAACAAAUCAAUCCGUGAGUUCUCAGCUCCCACUACGGACAACAUCCGCACUGGACCUGCUGCAGAGAUCGAUGGUAACUUUGAGCUCAAGCCUGGACUUAUCAACAUGGUGCAAUCCAACCAGUUCUGUGGGAAGGCACACGAAGAUGCUAGUGCUCAUUUACAACACUUCCUAGAGAUUUGCAACACAUUCACCAUAGCAGGAGUUUCCAAAGACGCUAUACUACUUCGCCUCUUCCCAUUCUCACUGUUAGGAAGAGCGAAGCAGUGGUUCUACGCUACAAAGCAGAAGAAUACUACGUGGGCACUCUGCUCAACAAACUUCCUGGCUAAGUUCUUUCCCAUGGGCAAGACCAAUGCUCUCCGUGGGAAGAUUACAAGUUUUCAGCAACAAAAUGAUGAAUCUGUUUCAGAAGCAUGGGAGCGCUUUCAAGACUACAUCCUAGAAUGUCCCCAUCAUGGAAUGGAGAGUUGGCUACUGAUGCAGACAUUCUAUCAUGGGCUCAGCAACAGUGCCCGAGAGACCAUGGAUGCUGCAGCUGGAGGAGCAUUCUUAUCACUUACUAUACCACAAGCCACAGCUCUUGUGGAGAAGAUGGCGUCCAACCAAAGCUGGAAUGAAGAGAGGACCCAGACACGCAAGAGAGGUGGAGGUAUGCAUCAGCUGAAGGAGGUAGACAUGCUGUCUGCAAAGCUAGACCUGCUCAUAAAGAAGCUCGACGAUAGAGCUGGAGACAAGAAAGAAGAUAUGCACAUCUACGACUCUCACAUGACUUGUGAGGAGUGUGGAGACACUGGACACUCAGGCAACCACUGCCCUGAGAUGCUUGAGGAUGUGAACUACAUCAACAACAACAACAACUACUACUACAACCGUCCUCAACAAAAUCAAGGUUGGAAUCAACAGAGGCCUAACUACUCAGGUAAUUAUCAAGGUAACAAUUCUUACAACAAUAAUAAUAAUUUUCCACCUUUGAGAGAGUUAGUGUCUAAUCAAGGAAAGCUAAUGGAUAAUCUAUCUAAGAAAUUGGCGUCUAAUGAUAAAAUGCUAGAAAAUAUAAAUAAUAGAAUGGAUAAUGUCUCUACUGCCAUCAAGAAUCAAAUUAGCUUUAAUAAAAUGAUUGAAUCCCAGUUAAAUCAAAUAGCUGCUGCUGUUCCUACUACUAACCCCGGUAUACCAUCACAACCGGAAGGAUUAGAAUCUGCAAAUCUUAUAGACGUGUUUGAUGCAGGUAAUUGGAGUAACCCCGUCACUGAAUUUUGUACUGACCGUCUGCCGGUCAAGAGAGGCGAUCCAGGACGCCCCGUCAUCCCGAUCUCCAUCGGCAUGGUGGACGUUCCAGAAGCACACUGUGACUUUGGCUCUAGCGUCAACAUUAUACCCAGGGUACUCUAUGAGAAAUUCUUUACAUAUCCUUUAUUAGAGACAACCAUGUGUUUGCAGUUUGCAGAUCAGACGAUAACUUUUCCAAAAGGAAUAGUGAGGAACCUUUGUGUCCGAGUUGGUACCUUGUAUGCCCCAGCAGACUUCGUAGUGGUAGAGACCGGAAAUGAUGAGAGAGCACCUAUCAUCCUAGGAAGGCCAUUUUUGAACACCACGGGAGCUAUCAUCUACGCCAGUGCUGCCAAGAUCAGUUUCUACGUCAAAGGGAAGAAGGAUACAUUUUUCUUCAAGAACAAGACUACACAAAUUCCAGAUCAAUCCAGACGUGAAUCAAGGAAGAGGACCAACAGGAGAAACAGGAACAAGCAAGUGUGGACCGAGUCAGCUAAGAUGGUCACUGUAGUCCAUGGAGGCCAAGAUCACCAACUUAAGUCACCGUUUUUGACCAAGAAGGACGACCCAGGAAUGCCAAGCAUUUACUGCUCCAUAAAUGGAUACAACUUCUACAAGACGAUUUUCGACACCGGAUCGGGCGUCAACAUAAUGGCCGCAAUCACCUAUCGGCUCUUGUUCGGGACCAUGCCACUAAGACCAACAUACAUUCAGCUCCAGAUGGCAGAUCAGACAUUUUGAGAAGUUCAAGGAAUAGUAUCUGAUGUCCCAGUCAAAAUAGACGAUCACUUUGUCUACACAGACUUUCAAGUUGUUGACAUGGGAGAAGAAGAGUACGAUCCACCCAUCAUCCUUGGAAGACCGUUCCUCAGCACCGUUAAAGCAAUUAUCUACAUUGGAACCGGAGAAGUCCAUAUGCACUUCCCCUCAGAGAAGGUACGCCGUUUUUUACUGACCCUAACUAUAUCAUUGAAGAAUCUAAGCAGGUCAGAAAGAGACGCAACCGCAACCAGAGAAGGCAGAUCAUCAAGGACGGAUGGGCAGACUAUGAAGGAGAAGUUGUAAGGUCAGAAGACUUGGAGUUUAAACAGAAUUAUCCAGAGGAGAUUGAAGCACCGAGUUAGGUAUGGAAAAUGAAGAUAACUAUACAAGAAGAGGAGGCACUGCCGGAAGUACCGACUACGCCACCCAACGAACCUCAGGACGAUUAAGAAAUUGGAGAGUCCCGUUCGGAGGACUUAAAAAUACCGAACGCCUUGCCAAGAGGUAAACUUGGUAGUUAUCCUUUCCAUUACAAUUAUUUCAAAUUAUUUCAACUAGUUUACUAAGUAAUCAUGUUCAUGCUAUCUUAAAAAGAAAAUAAAAAUAUGAAAAACACUAAGCUCCAUGUGAGUAUACGAGUGGCAUAAAACCCAUUAGUACAUUCACUGUGGUGGCAUAAAAAUAAAAAUAAAUAUUUUUCUGCUUUAUAAAACAAAAAUAUAAAAACAGGGAGUAACAAUUAUUAAGGAGUCUCAAGAUAAUAAAGGCUAGAUAUUUAUGCUAACACUUAAUCAGUUCCACAAGCUUUGUUGUCUAUUUGAGCUCCACAGAAUUUAAGAAGACUAGCAGACGGAGGACAUUCUAAUCGCUGUCAGAAUGCUGCUGACUUUCAAAUACACCUCUGCCACCUGCUAGCUACAUUAAGAGAAAUUACGUCAAAAUUCAGCUUGGGGGAGAGCACCCCCAUUUACAUCGAUAAGUAUUUCUAUCUAUCUUUAUACUUAUAUUAUUUUAGAAUAUUAAAAUACAUAUAAACUAUGGGAAAACCAAAUAAAGAUUUUAUGCUUAUAUAUGUCUUUUGCUUAGUGUGUUUAAUAAAUAAAUAAAGUGGCUAUUUUAAUCUGUAUCUAAACAAAAACUUAAGCAUGGAUAUGAUAAAUAGUUGCUCUGUCUAAUUUGCAAAUUUUAAGUUCUCUCUCAAGUUUAGAUAUAACUGUUAUAAUUUAAAGCUUGCCCUAGACCUAAACUUGUGGGAUGAAAACUUGAUCUGAAGUCUAAGUUGUUAACGGAUACGAUAUAGGAAGGUUGAGCUGCUGUUUAUCUGUUCCUAGAGAUUCUAGAAUUCUGGAGAAUUUUAUCUUUGAAAAUCUUUAAAAUGUUGCAUGAUGAGUUCCUGUAUGAUGAGAGCUUAAAUUCCUACCACAGCCAUAUAUACAUGCUUGCUAGACUUUGAGCCACACAUUUAUUAUUUACUGCUUAUGAGCAUUGAGUGUGGUCAAGCUGUGUAGACCCUUAGGAGCUUGUCAUGUGGUUAAAUCAAGAUUUCACUGGCACGUUCACUCAUAUAUGCUACUUCUACUCCGGAAGUACCAUCCACAUAUAUCCAUCCAUUUCCAUCUCCAGAAUCACCCAAAAAUAUUCUGCUCCUAAUCCGGGAGAGAAUAACCAAAAAUAUUUUUGUUUCCCCUUGUGAAAUAAAUGCUCAAGUUAUCUUGUUACUACCACUUGCUAUAUUAUCUCAAGAGAUGAGUGCUCUAAAAAAAGAAGAAAAUAAAAAAAUAAUACGAGGAAAUAAAAAGUUGCAAGUGCUCGGAACCUCGAAAGAAAAGAAAGAGUGAGACGAGAGGUAAAAAUGGACAAGUGACCGACAGUAGAAUUAGGGGUGCAAGAUACCCACCUGAGAGACAAGAAAAAGAAGAGCAUCUCAUUCUCCUCAUAAAGUUUCAAAAGCAAGGAAGGUAUGUAUCCCCUCAAAAGAGCAAAGUAGAAUUAGACUUCCACCACCAUUGUUUUCACCAUUGUUAUCACCAUCAUCACCAUACACCAUUCAUUCGCCACACAUGCACAUCUUGAUUUGGCUUAUUGAUUUGUUUCUUUGGAUCCAUGGUUUGACUAUGCAAUAAAUGUCUUGUGAGUAUGUAUACUUUAUCUCCCACCUAUGAGCUCCAAAUAUUAAAGCCUUAUUAGAGUAGGGUGAGAGAGAAGGAAAUGUCACUAUGCCUUAUACCACAAAUACUACAUAUCUUGAGAGAAGGCAUAUACCAUUAAUGCCUUGGUAAGGAUCUAAAAAUACCACAAAAGAGAGAUCUGAGAGAAUCAUACAAGGAAUCUCUGAGUUUUAUUUGAAAAUCUGCAAAAACCCCAGAGCUAUAGCUGAUCAAGAAUAAGAGACAUGGCACUUGGCUAGAGUGUUCUAUCUUUUAACCACUCAAGACAGAAGUGACAGUUACAAGUCCCAUGGUGGAGGUAAAGUAAGUAAGUUUUAAGUCUUGAUAGUUUACUCUAACUCAGAGAUGAGAUCUUAUUUAAAAGCAUGUGUACCGUCUAUUUUUUUAAAAAUAUUGCAACAACUUAUGAUCCAUAGGUGAGUCUAUCCUUGCUCAGGAACGAGCAAGAGGUAAGCUUGGGGGAGUUUGUUGACGGUCCUUAAGUAUCAAAUUUAAUUAUCAAAUAAAAAAAGAAAAGGAUCCAAAUGAAAUUAAGAUCUAGACUUAGGGUUUUAUCUGACAGAAUUCCACGAGUUUUGGUGUUUGUCUAUUUCUGCAGGGGGUUAUCAGGAAAUACGGAAGAAAGGCCCACAUGUCGUGAUUACGUAAAGAUAUUAACGUGCUGCGCAAUUAUCUUACAUCUAGAAGACUCCAGAAGCCACGAGACCGAAGUGGAGGCGAAACGGGGCCAGACCCUGGGCGGCCGCCCAGUUGGUCAGGGCGCCCGCCCACCUCCUGAGUCCAAUCAGGACUCUGCUUUGCGGGAGAUCUCCACCGACCUAAAGGAUGAAUCUAAACCAUACAAUCUAUGUCGGUUUGAUCCAAGGGCCCAUAUUCACUUGAAGGGACUAUAAAACCAGACCCCCUGGCCCCUAGAGGAGAGAGCCUCUCAACCCUAAUUCAUUGUUCCAUCAAGGGAGAAGAAGCCUCUGAUCAAGAUUAGAGCGAGCACAUCAAUUAGAUAUCUAGAUUAGCAUAGCUACAUAGGAUUAGAACUAGAAGGAGUCAAUCUUCGAUUGGUUUCCGGAUCUGUCAAGAGGAUUCUUGGUAAUUCUCUAAUUGUGCUUCUAAUUGCUUUCUAAUUAUCUUUGUUCUUCAAUAUUAUGAAUAUGACUUUGUUCUACUUCAAUAUAUUGCUUAUGACUUUGCUCUACUUGCUUAUAUUCAAGAUUAUAUUGUUCUUAGUUUAUCAUAGUUAUGUACUUGGCUUAGUUAGAUUGGAUCUAUAUACAUGCUUAGGAUCGUAUAGCGUUUAUCCAUCGGAUCCAUGGGUAAAUGAUAGAUAUUGUGUAGGCGUGGUGCUUAUACCGUAUUUAUCUGCGAUUGUACCCAAUAUGCCAGAUCGUGGGGUGGUUCGUGAUAGUGACAGCUUCAUUGAUUCUUAUAUAGUCCCCCUCUCGUGUAUUGGGCUGGCAGAGCAACAUUAUUACAGGGGAGUGAUUGCUAUGUUUCUCAUAUUCCUUGCUAAUAUCAUUAUGCAUGGGCGUAGUCUUGUCUCGCAAUGAUUGCUAAGUAUGCUUGCACUAACUAUGAUAUGCUAGACUAUAUAGUUGAGAAUAACUUAGGGAAUAUUCUUGUAGUUCGUUCUAAUACCAUGCUAAUGACUUUCUAGAGUAUCGAAUUGAGGUGCUUAUCAUAUUUAUUAUGUGGCUAGAUCAGAUUAGUUAUCUUUGUCACUAUUAUUAUUUCAUAUAUCUUUUAUGUGACACUUAUCCUUGUAUGAAGAGUUAGAUAUAAUGUUCUCAAUUAUACAUGCAAUGAUAGAUGCUCAAUCUCAUAUUCUAUUCUGUAAUCAUUAGUGAUGAUUGCUAAUCCCUUCCCAGUGGUAAAAAUAUAAAUAACGAUACCUGGAAUACUUCCCAGUUAAAAUGCUACAUCGGUAUUAAUCUGUGCGCUUGCAGGUCCAAUUCAUUAUUUAUUUAGAAGAGCAAUUGCAUAUUUCAAUACCGCGUCUCUUAUAUCAUGCUGGGGAUGACAACUUGGCUUAAGUGGUGUGAGGGAUAGGUUUGGGAUUUUUGGCACCGUUGCUAGAUUUAGAACUUAGUCUACUUUUAGUAAUGAUGUUAAGAAUACCCAAUAGUGAAUGCUCUAGAGAGGAGUGCAGACGAGGACCAGCACAGUGACAGUGCAGCUAUGAGUGCUAUGUUCACCUUGAUGAAGACCUAUGGGGGUCUGGAGAGUUGUUUGGGACGCUUGUCUGGGUCCCUUCUCACAGUUCAGGAUGAAAAGCGUCAGCUGCAGCGUGGGUUUGACAAUGAGGUUGAGAGGUUGCAGGCAGAGUUGGCCCGCAUGACCCGAGAGAGAGAUCCGGCGGUCCAGAAGAAUAGUGAGCUGAGGCAGGACCUGCUUGCAGUGAGAGAGCAGAGGGACAGGGUGACUACUGCUCACAGGAACUGCGAGCGCAUGCUAGUUCGUGUGCUUGGUCAGAGGAAUGAAGCCUGGCACGAGGAGGACACCCUGAGAGCCCGACAGCUAGAGCUUGAGCAGCAGCUAGCCAAUGCCAAGGAGUACAAUGAGAACCUGCAUGAGGAGAUCCACCAGCUGCAUAACCAGCUCCACCCUCACCACCUACCUGGAGCAGCCGAGUUAGACUCUGAGGAUGAGAUGGAUGAGGGCCCAGAGAUGGGGGCAGCUGCUAGUGGAGAUGAGGACGAGGAGGGCUCUGGCAUGGACAGCGACCAUAGCUAGCAGAUGCUAGGGCUCUAGAGCUAGUCCUUCUUCUUUUGAUGUUGUUGUUGCAUGGCAUGUCUUGUAAUCUUGGAUCCAGGCUGUGUAAAACUUUAUGUGAUUACGCUAAAAGUCCAGUGUAUGUAUGCUGGCAAUUUUGGGAUGUAUGCGGACCUCGUUGCUUGGAUGUUAAGUAAUUCGUUAGUGAAGUUGUGUGUGGAUGAUGAAUUGUUGUGCCUCUGUUUAUUGUGCAAAUUUAUUUUCCUCAGUAAAUUCAGUACGGCAUAAUUCUACAUAUGUCUACCAUUGAUGGCAACUCCUAACGACUGCUUAUCAUUGACGUAUGCAGAUGGUGCAAACACGUGGCGGGGGUAACAGCAACCCCGGACUUGGAGCAGGUACUUCUGGAGGUGGGGCUCAAUAGAAUGAGGACAGAGCACCAUCACCACCACCACCCCCUCCUCCGUACACUGCGACGUGUUUUUCGUGCAGUUUCUGGGGAGCCAACGCAACAUGGAACAGAUGCAGCGCAACAUGGAAGAAGCCCUGCGCAAUAUCGCUGACAAUACUCGCCGUGGGGAUAACCAUGGCGGUUGUGAAGCCAAUCAGUACAGCUAUUUCAAGGACUUCAUGGAUACCAAACCACCAGUCUUUAAGGAGGCCUUAGAACCGCUCGAGGCAGAUGAGUGGAUCAACACCAUGGAGUAAAAGUUCCAUCUUCUUCGGAUGACUGAAGAACUUAAGGCUGAGUAUGCAGCGCAUCAGUUGCAGGGACCUGCUGGGAUUUGGUGGUCCCAUCAUCGUACCACCUACCCAGAAGGGACCCCAAUCACCUGGAACCGCUUCACCACCGCUUUUCGGGGAAAUUACAUUCCUCCGGGUGUGGUGGAAAUGUAGGUUGGGGAGUUCAUGAGGCUAUCUCAGGGAACGAAGUCUAUGAAGUAGUAUCUACACGCCUUCAAUAAUCUUGCUCGUUACGCCCCCGAGUUUGUGAACACGGAGGCCAAGAAAAUCGCUAGUUUCCAAAGAGGCUUGAGCCUGAAGAUGCUGAAGACCAUGGGUAUUGGAACCCGGGCUACCUUCAAUGCUUACAUCAGCGACUGUCUGACCCAGAAAACAAUAACGACAACUACAGUGCAUCCAAGUCUCAUAAGAGGGCUUUUGAAGCUGGGUCAUCUCAGUCUAGGGCACCAGUGGCGGGGCGACAGCCGUAUCGUCCUCCUGCCCCAGGUGCUAGGUUCCGGCCACCGCAGAGAAGGAACACCGGGCAUCCAAUGCAGCAGAAGCCGUACAAGGUGACAAUAGCUCCUACCAAGCCAAAGCAGUUUAGGCUGCGGCACCUGCCGCCAACAACAUGACCAAGGGGCCAUGCUAAAACUGCCACAAGAUGGGGCACUUUGCUAAGGAAUGUCCCUACCCCAAGAGGCAGCACACGACCUACCCAGCUCGAGUGCACCACACCUCGAUAUAGGAGAUCCCGGAAGGAGAACGAGUUACAGCUGGUAUGUUUCCUGUCAACCAACAUCGUGCAGAUGUUUUGUUUGAUUCUGGAUCAUCGCAUUCAUUCAUGAGCCAAGCAUUUGCACAAAAGCAUGACCAAACAGUUACAGAUCUGGGUUAUGGUUAUCGUAUCAGCUCAGCAGGGGCAGAUGAGUUGACAAAUAGAGUGGUCCGAGGGGCAACCCUGGAUAUAAGUGACCGAGUGUUUCGAGUAAAUCUGGUAGUCAUGCCUGGAUUAGUUUUGGAUGUUAUCAUGGUCAUGAACUGGAUGAAAGAGUGGGAUGUUGUCAUAGAUACUGGGAAGAGGGUGUUAUCGCUCAGAGAACCUCAGGGCAGUGGAUCUUUCCAAGCACCUCUGCCCCAUCGCCUUGACUUUGCUAGCAUCUCUUGUGCUACACACGUAGUUCCACUACCACAGAUCCCCAUAGUCUGUGAGUUCCCUGAUGUUUUCCCUGAGGAAUUACCAGGACUUCCCCUAGAUAGGGAAGUAGAGUUUGCAAUAGAGUUGAUACCAGGUACAACACCGAUAUCUAGAAGGCCGUACCGGAUGCCGCCAAACGAACUCGCUGGGUUGAAGAAUCAACUAAAGGAAUUGUUAGACAAAGGGUUCAUCCGGCCAAGUUCAUCGGAAUGGGGUUGUCCGGCGUUGUUUGUGAAAAAGAAGGAUCAAUCGUUGCGCAUGUGCGUGGACUAUCGUCCACUCAAUGCGGUGACAAUCAAGAAUAAGUAUCCACUGCCAAGGAUUGAUAUUUUGUUUGAUCAGUUGUCCAAGGAAAAAGUAUUUUCCAAGAUAGAUUUGAGGUCUGGGUAUCACCAAAUCAAGAUCUGUCCGCAAGAUAUCCCGAAGAAUGCUUUUCCACCAGAUAUGGGUUGUAUGAGUAUCUUGUCAUGUCCUUUGGGUUGACAAAUGCUCCUGCAUACUUCAUGUAUCUAAUGAAUUCGGUCUUUAUGCCAGAAUUAGAUAAGUUUGUUGUGGUGUUUGUCGAUGAUAUUUUGGUUUAUUCAGAAAAUGAACAAGAUCACGCCGAGCAUUUGAGAAUCGUGCUACCACGACUGCGAGAGCUUCAGUUAUAUGCAAAGUUCAGCAAGUGUGAGUUCUGGUUGAAGAAAGUUCCUUUCCUGGGGCACAUUCUGUCUGAAGAAGGGAUUGCUGUGGAUCUGUCAAAGGUACAGGAAGUCAUGGACUGGAAGGCACCAACUUCUGUCUCGGAAGUUCGAAGCUUUCUUGGCCUAGCCGGGUAUUACCGCCGUUUCAUACCUGACUUCUCCAAGAUUGCUAAGCCAAUGACCAAUUUGCUACAAAAAGAUCAUAAGUUUGUCUCGACGGAAGGGUGUGAGCUAGCCUUCCGCACCUUGCGAAAGUUGUUAACCACCACUCCCGUUCUAGCGCAACCCAAUAUCGGGAAGUCUUUUGAUGUGUUUUGCGACGCAUUGAAAAGUGGCUUAGGAUGUGUGCUGAUGCAAGACGGUAGAGUAAUAGCUUACGCUUCACGACAGUUGAGAAAGCACGAAGUCAACUACCCAACUCACGACCUCGAGUUAGCAGCAGUGGUGCAUGCCUUGAAGAUCUGGAGGCACUACUUGCUGGGAAACAAGUGUCAUAUCUACACAGAUCAUAAAAGUUUGAAAUAUAUUUUCACUCAGUCCGAGCCGAAUAUGAGGCAACGAAGAUGGUUAGAGGUGAUCAAGGACUACGAUCUGGACGUCCACUAUCAUCCAGGCAAAGCUAAUGUGGUAGCAGACACUUUGAGUCGCAAACCGCACUAUCAAGUGGUUCAGCCGUUGUUUGAAGAUGGGUUCAAUCUCAUGCAUCCCGAAGUAUUAUGUCACAUACAGCUCAGUUGUUCACUUGAAAGUCAAGUCAUCGAAGGUCAGAAAGCAGAUAAGGGUAUUUUCCACAUCAAAAAAAAGAUCAAAAAUGACCCAAGGACUCAGUUCAGAGUUGAUGAAAGAGGGGUAUUGUGGUUUCAGCACCGGCUGGUAGUUUCAAAGAAUCGAGAACUAAAGAAUCGCAUCAUGGAUGAAGCACAUCUCUCCAAGGUUUCUAUUCAUCCUGGCAGUGGUAAGAUGUAUCAAGACCUGAGGUCUCACUUUUGGUGGACUAAAAUAAAGAAAGAAAUAGCCGUAUAUGUGGCCCAUUGUGACACGUGUUGCAGAGUCAAGGCUAUACAUAUGAAACCUGCAAGUCUGCUGCAACCAUUGUCAGUUCUAGAGUGGAAGUGGGAAGAGGUCAGCAUGGACUUUAUUAUAGGUUUGCCAACAACACGAAAGGGGAAUGACUCGAUUUGGGUAAUCAUAGAUCGAUUGACCAAGUCGGCUCAUUUCGUUCCAGUUAAGAACACAUACAGACCUCCCGAGUAUGCCGAUAUAUAUAUAGCUGAGAUCUUCAAGUUACAUGGCAUUCCCAAGACCAUCAUAUCAGAUAGAGGACCACAGUUCACUGCUCAUUUCUAGGAGCGAAUGCAUAAGAGUUUGGGGACUAGUCUGAUAAGAAGCACAGCGUAUCAUCCCCAAACCUCGGGUCAAAUGAAAAGACUCAAUCAAGUACUAGAAGAUAUACUGAGGGCUUGUGUGUUAUCGUCCAAGGGAUCAUGGGAAUCGUGGUUGCCUUUGGCUGAGUUCUCAUACAAUAAUAGCUAUUAAGAGAGUAUCAAGACGACCCCGUUCGAAGCUUUGUAUGGUCGAAGAUGCAGGACUCCGUUAAACUGGGUUGAACCUGGUGAAAGGAGAUACUAUGGUAUCGACCUCGUGAACGAGACUGAGAAAAAGGUGCAAAUCAUACAGCAGCAUAUGAAAGUGGCACAAUCGCGACAAAAGAGUUAUGCUGAUAAGAGAAGAAGGCCACUCGAAUUCAAUAUAGGUGACUAUGUUUACCUCGAGGUUACGCCAAUAAAGAAAGUUCAGCGUUUCCGAGUUCGAAGCAAGCUUGCACCCUGAUAUGUGGGACCGUACCAGAUACUAGAAAGAAAAGGCCUCGUGGCCUGCAAGAUUCAGUUACCUGAAGAGUUGAGUUCAAUAAAGGCAGACUUAGAAUAUAAAGAGCAGGCAGUGGGUAUCGUGGAUGCCAAGGAGCGGGUAACCCGAAACAGAGUUGUCAAAACAUAUAAGGUGGUGUGGAGUUAUCAUGAUGAUAGGGAUGCCACGUGGGAAACCGAGGAUUACCUAAAAACAGUUUACCCAAAAUUUCAUAAGAAAUGGUUAGUAACCCAAAUUUCGGGACGAGAUUUCCCUAAGGGGGGAAGGGCUGUAACACCCUAGGUGUUAAGCAUGCACUUAGUCUCAUAAAACAUUCAUAAGCAUUCUCAUCAAGCAUGGCAUAAGCAUCACAUCCCAUGAGCACAAAAAUAAUUCAAGUGUGAUUUUAUGUGCUUUAUUUUAGGUGAAUUAAAUAUGUUAAAAAUAUUAUGCUUGCUUCUAAAAAUUGUGAAAUAUUCAAAUUAGGUUGAAAUAUGUGUUAAAAGAAUUAAGAGUAAUUUUGUGAAAUUUUUUUUGGAGCCAUAGGAUUUGAGAAAUGGAAUUUAUACAAAAAUCCCUAAAAUGAAUUUAUUUAAAAACCUAGAACUAGUUUUAAUCUGUAGAUCAAAUUCUAUUUGGAAUUUGGAUUUGCUUAUUAAAACAAUGUUGUAGGGAAUUUUAUGGGGAGGAAUUCUUCUUUUUAUCCCAGCCCCUGAAAAGUUUUGUAAAAGCUUCAAAAGUCUCAUUUAAACUUUUUGGAGAAAAGGAAUUCAAAAAAAGGAAAAGGGGACAGGCGCUGCUGGGCCGACCCGCCUCCCUUUUGGCCCAGCAAAGCCGCGCGGCCCAGCUCCCCCUCCCCCUCUCUCCUGCGCGUGGCACCCGCCUUCGUCCACCCGACGCCGGCCACGCGGCGGCCGUACGUCGUCGUCGUGGACGCGCCGCGGCCGACCGGCUAUAAGCUGGUCGGGACGCCGCCUCGCGCCCCCAGGCUCCACUCUGUCGCCCCGCUCCUCUCUCCUUCUUCUUCCUCCGCUCGCGAGCGCUGCAGCCAUAGCAGCUCCGCCGCAGCGCCAUCGCCGGAGAAGCUCCGCUGCCCACCGCCGGCCACGCCAGUGCCCCAACCUCAGCGCUAAGACCACCAUCGCACUCGUCUUCUCCGCGGUAAGCCUCUGCGAACGCUCUACCGAGGUGAGAGACUGCCGUGCGCCGUGAAUCGCUCGUCGGAGUUGCUCCGACCUCGCCAGAGAGCUCCGCCGCGUCGGAUCCCGCUAGUUCCUACCUCUUUUUGCUCGCUUUUGGGCGCAUUAGGUCUGUAGUUCGAUGAAGAAGCUCCAAAGAGCACUCACGCGUGUUCUACCGCCCCGGAGCAGCCUGGCCACGGCGAGCAGCGCCGCCGUGCCACCAUGCAUGCUCGCGAGGGUGCUCCGGUCAUCCUCAGGUCGAUCCAAGCGCCUCGCUGCGGGGAGCACGCUGGUGCUUACCCUGUGGCCGGAGACCUCGCCGUCGGCGAGAGCCGGCCGGCCGGAGUGCUGCAUGGCUGACCCGUGGGGGCCACGACCCCUAUGUCCCGCCAGUCAGCACCUCUGCGGGUGUGGAUCUGGGUAGAUCUAGCGUUUUCCGUUGGUUUUUCUUAAAUAAAGUUUUUUCAGAAUUUGUUUAAAUCUUGUAAAUUUCAUAACUUGAGUUCUACAGCUCCAAAAUUGGUGAAAUAAGUUUUGAUGAACUCUAUAAUUCCAGAUCUAUAGCUUGGUGUGGUUGCAUGUCAUGUUUGGACAACUUUUCUGUAUAUAUAUUUAAUCCAUGUUUUUGCUGAAUUUGGAAAAUACAUAGUAAUUAAAAUAUUGCUCAGAAAAAUAUGAAACUUGUUUUGUUGGCUCUGCAUGGGUGAUUAGGCUCUGGGAAAAAUAUGUUACACAUUAUUUGCUGUAUGAAUUAUUUUAUGAUGAUUUAAAUGCUUGCAUGGCAGUGGUUUAUGAUUUUUAAUAAAUAAUUGGAUCAUGCAAUUAAUCUGGAAAUUUUUGUGGGUAUUUCUUAUGUUAACAAGUUAAUUAUAAAAAUGUGAAAUCUGCUGUUUGACACUUAUACCAUAGUAGGGUAUUUAUACUUGAUUAUAUGGUUUGAUCUUGUGAUUUUUUGUAGCUCAAAAUAAAUGUCCAAAUAUUAUGAGAAAUUUAUGGUAGACUCUAUGGUUGACUAGUGAUCUGCUAUAAUUUUUGUGGAAUUUAUGGAUAAGCCGAAAUAUAUGCUAUUUUGUAGGCCUAGAGGUGGAUAAAUAAAUCAUGAAUUUGUUAUACAUAGAUUAAAUGAAGUAAAAUGAUGGUUGGUGUAUCUUUGAAGCAUCAUGUGAGUUUGCUGGAUAACCAUGAAUACAAUUUGUAGAAGAGGAUGCAAUAGAUGCUUAAUUCAAUUGCAUGUUCUUGGAUGAUGUUGACUACCUUGUUGAAAUGACCACCUAUAUCAUCUAUGCACUAUGUCAUAGUCAUCUGUUACCCACUUGCAUAAGCAUUGCACCCCGGGCAUCUCGCACUCCACUCAUGAGCACAUAUGCAUCAUACAGGCUCGCAGGAGAACGAGGUGGGACCCGCGGAGCAAGAGGAGACCCAGGAGCAGGAACCUCUGGUUGGACCGGAGCCUGGAGAAGAGCUGCAGGAGUGCCCGGAUCACAAGCCGAGCACGUUUCAGAAAGGCAAGCCCCGGAGCAUUCUAAGUCUCCCUAUUUCUCGCUAACAUAAAUGAUAUAUUAGGCUUUUUUUACUAUGUUGCAUUUAAGUGAUAGGAAUUGCUUGAUACCGUUGAUGCAUAUGUACUCCUUGAUAUCACCACUUGUUUACCUACCUUGUCAUAGAUAGGAACGGAAUCUACGCUUAGCUUGCUGAGUCCGGUAGAAGUCAGGUGAUUUCCUGUCACCUGCGAGAUAUAGGUGGAUACCUACUUAAUUAGUGGUGAUUGCUUUGGGAAAGGACAACCAAGUGUGUUAAGGAAUUUGAGACCGGGCAGAGUCUUAUGGUGGGUUGAUCAUAGUGCCCCUGCCUAUGUCGAUUAAGGACCGAUCGUUGACGGCCCUCUUGUCAUAUUGAACGCAUGCCCCACACUUAGCUGGAAGGUUAAGUCGUUCCGACCGCGAAGCCUGAACACUAUCCGGGCCGGGAGUCGAGCCGCCAUACGCUGUAUUGGUGAUGGUUGAGGAGAACGACGAGGGCGCGGUGCGCAACCUUGGUAUACCUUGGAUACCUCGGUCGCCGGAAUGGUCCUCGGGUACUGGCGGUGCCUGCCGAACCCGCGAAUUGGUCCUGGAUAGUGUAACACGAUGAUCUGUAGCUCACUUGAUCACUGAGUGUGGUUUGUGUGGGGAAUAACUCGCCAGCUGGUUAGAAAUCGAUUCGAAUCGCCAUCGCUCCUGGAUAGUGAGCACUUGACAUGAGCUUCGUCCUCGUAGUAAGGACUAUGGAACACUUGGGUUAAAAAGAUAACUGAUUUAUGAAUGAUAUGAUGAGGUACCAUCAAAAUACUACCUUUGGUUACAAUAGUACAGGUGCAAACCUAGAAAAUGGGUAAUGAUAAUAUCAAACUUGAGCUAAUUAAAAGAAGAAAGGUUUUCUUUAGGCUAUGAUUAGUGGAACAAUGCUUUUAUGCAAAAAAAGUCUUAGCUACUCCCUCAUACAGCCUUCAUGAUCCUUGAGGAGUCUUUAUUUUUGGUUUAUGACGGGUAAGUCUAGCUUAGUACAUUCUCGUACUCAGGGUUUUAUUCCCAUGUUGUUUUGCAGAUGGUCAAAUGUAUUAUGGAUAUUGCAUCCUUUGCUUGUACCCAGCAAUGGGCGAGGACUAGACCAAGGGCGAUGGUCACUCUAGCUUCUCUUGUGCUUUUGUGGGAAUGACCGAACUAUGGCACUGUAUCAAACUAAAUGUGUGUGUUACUUUCAAACUAUGAAGCUUCUGCUACUUGAGAAUUUGGUUUGUAAUAAUUUUUAAGUACUCCGAUGUGUUUGUUAAAUGUUAUGAACUGGAUGUAAUUGUGAAUGGUGACCGCUAAACUAAUUACGAUCUUGGCUGUAUGUGCGAUAUGUGGUUUGAAAUCCUUUGAGAUUUCACGGACUACCGGAAUUAUAUGGGCUUAAGCUCGAUGGUUUGACUGUGCAAAUGGUCACUAUUAGGCUUAAUCUCUUAUAAUUUGGAUGGUUCUGUUACAUGUUUCACCAAAGUCAAGACCUUCAACAUGAGUAUAGCCUUGUGCUACCGAUCUUGCUUUGUUUCUUACAACUAUCCCAUCUUGAUCUUGCUUGUUGUGAAAAACCCAUCUAGUACCAAUGACAUUGUGAUCACUUGGCCUCUCAAUUAAUUCCCAUACUUGAUUUCUUUUGAAGUUGUUGAGCUCUUCAUGCAUAGCAUUAACCUAAUCAACAUCUCUCAAAGCUUCAUCUAUCUUCUUUGGCUCAAUGUGAGACACAAAAGAGAAAUGCUCACAAAAUGAUGCUAAUCUUGAUCUAGUUUGCACUCCUCUUUGAAUGUCACCUAUGAUAUGAUCUAAUGGAUGAUCUCUUGCAAUAUUUGUUGGUUGGAGUAUUUGCACUUGAUUGCUUGCACUUGAUUGAUCAUGAAAUGAUGUACUAGCUUGUUGAUCUUGCACUUGUGUACCACUUGUACUAGCUUGAUUUUUAUCAUGAGAAACACUAGCUUGCACAUUAGAGGUAGGAAGCACUUGAUCUUUGUCAUCUUCAACAUCAAUCAAUUCUCUAGGCCUUAAAUCACCAAUAUCCAUAUAUUUCAUUGCAUUGGCCAAUUGAGUGCCUCUCACAUCAUCUAGAUUCUCAUCUUCUUCUUGAGAGUCAUUGGUUUCAUCAAACUCAACAUCAUGCACCUCUUCAAGAGUACCACUAGCCAAAUUCCAAACUCUAUAAGCUUUGCUAGUAGUGGAGUAACCAAGCAAGAAGCCAUCAUCACAUUUCUUUUCAAAUUUGCUCAAUCUAGUGCCUUUUCUUUGGAUUAGUGUUGCCAACUUGUUUUUUGGCUUGACAUACACUACAAAGCUUGUCUUUCUCAAAUGUGACAUGUUUUAAGCCUCUAACAAGAUCAUGUUUGGCUAACUUGUUCAAUUGUUUUAUUCGAAUAUGACCAAGCCUUCAAUGCCAUAACCAACCCAUACUAGAUUUAGUGAGAAAGCAUGUUGAUAAUUCAGCUUCCCUAGUAUUGAAAUCAACCAAGUAUAGAUUCUCAUAUCUAAAGCCUUUGAAGAUCAAGUUCGAGCCAUCUACACUUAUGAUCUCUACAUCAUCAACUCCAAAUAUGCAUUUGAAACCAAGAUCACAAAGUUUAGCUAUGGAUAGUAAGUUGAAAUUCAAACUCUCUCUACUAGUAGUGCAUUGGAAAUGCUCAAGUAAUUGGAUAUAGCAAUUUUACCGAGCCCUUUGAGCUUGCCUUUGCCAUUGUCACCAAAUGUGAUACUAUCAACACCAUUGUCAUCAUUUAGAUUGAUUGAAUUGAACAUUCUUGAAUCACCGGUCAAGUGUUUUGUGCACCCACUAUCAAGCACCCAAUGCCUUCCUCUGGCUUUAUAGUUUACCUACAAAACAAAUCAAUGUUUCUUUAGUACCCUUACUUGUUUGGGUCCUUGGAGGUUAGUGACUAAGCUCUUUGGUACCCAAAUGGCCUUCUUCUUUGAACCCACAAUUGGUGUACCAACAAACUUAGCAUGCACACAAUUCUCAACCUUGGUAAGCACAUAACAAGAAUCAAAAGGAAUAUGUAACGUCCCGCCUCCAUGAGGCCAAGCCCGCUUACAUCUGGUAGCUUUUCUAGGAUAUAGUCAGUCCCCACACACCAAUACUAGUCUUUUCUGUACACUUUGUCCUCACUCGCGCGCACCUAGGAAGUACUUCCUGGUCGGUCACCCAUCCCUAAAUUUCUCCAGGCCAAGCACGUUUAACUUUAGAGUUCUUUGGAGAUGGGCUUCCGGAAAAGAAGUUGGAACUGGUUGGUAUGAGUCUUCUAUUAAUCCUAUUAAGCCCUGGGCCGGGUGUUACAGAAUAUAAGGUACAUUAGCAUUUUUCUUGUUCUUGUUCUUGUUCUUGUUCAUUUUAUUGCAAUUAAGCUCUAGGUGCCCAACUUGCUAGCAUUUGUUGCAAUACUGACCAUUGCUCUUCACAAAGCUAGGCUUGUGAGUUGCAAAGGCCACCUUGCCUUUCUUGGGGGUAUAGCCUAAUCCCUCUUUGUUGAGAGAAAACCUUUGGCUACCCAAGCACUUUAGCAAGCGGGCCUCACCACCAUAGGCUUUGCCUAGGGUGUGAGUGAGCUCAUCCACCUCUCUCUUGAGAGUCUCAUUCUCAACCUUUAGUGAUGUAUCACAAGUGAUACCGACACUAAAAGUAGAGGUAGAGUUGGUUGUGGUGGAUGAAGACCUACAAGAAGAGUUAAUGGCAACAAUAAUAGAUGAGUUGACUGAUUCUUUAAUUAAGUCAGAUGUUGUGCCCACAUCACAUGAUACAACAACCUUUUCCUUGAUCUCUUCUAGCAACAAGGAGUGAGCUUUUUCAAGCUUGGUGUGAGCCUUGCCAAGCUUCUUAUGGGCAUCCAGUAGCUUCUCGUGAGUAGCAUUGAGCUCAUCAAAGGAUUGCUCAAGUGCUUUUAACUUUUUGGCCAAUUCUUUGCACUUCUUGUUUUUAGAAUGAAUAAGUGAAUCGGCUUUCUCUAACAUAUCCAUGAGUUGUUCAUUAGUGAAUUCAUUUUCAUCAUCACUAUCACUAUCAAGUUUAUGUUCACUUUCACUUUCACUGUUAUCAUAUCGUACCUUGUGGACCUUGGCCAUGAAGCAUGAAGGAGUGUCGAAGAGUGAUGGCUUGUUGUUGAUAGCAAUACUAGCAAGCGCUUUCUUCUUGGUGCCUUGUCAUCAUCACUUGAAUCAUCAUCCGAAGAAGCAUCACUAUCCCAUGUCACAAUAUAGGAUCCACCCUUCUUCUUCUUCUUAAAGACCAUCUUUUUCUCUUUCUUUUCUUUCUUGUCCUUCUUGUUCUUCUUCUCAUGCUCGUCAUUGUCACUAUUGUAAGGAUAAUCCACCACAAUGUGAUCGGGGCUCUUGCACUUGUAGCAUAGCCUCACAUACUCUUUGUUCUUGAAAUGAUCUCUUCUCUUUCUUGUGUGAUAGCCCUUCUUAUUCAUCAUCUUCCCAAAUUUGCGGACAAAGAGUGCUAGUGCUUCAUCAUCACUAUCAUUAUUGGAGCACUCCUUAUCACAUGAUUCUUUCUUCUUGGCCUUGCCCUUGUUCUAGCUCUUGGAUGAAGAGCUAGCUUUGAAUGCUACGCUUUUCUUCUUCUUAUCAUCAUCAUUGUUCUUCAUUAACUCAUCAUCAUUGUUAUUGUAUUGAUCCUCGGUCCUGAUGUCUCCAAGUACCUAAUUGGGAGAUACAUUCUUCACACCGACUCUAAAGAUGAUUGUUCUCAAUGUCUUGAACCUCUUGGGAAAGUACAUCAAGAACUUGUGAAUGAAGUCUUCAUCCUUCACUUUCUCACCAAGGCCCUUGAGAUCGUUGAUGAUGACUUGGAGCCUAUAGAACAUCUCUGGCAUCCUUAGCAUAUAGAACAUAUCCGGCAUCCUUAGCAUGAGCGGAUGAGGUUGAUGGCAUCGCCGACAGCGGUCGGCCAGUAGAAACCUUGCCAGAAGGUGUUUCAAAUGAGAGUCCUUGGAGCUACGUGGUGGCCGCAAGCCCCUGAGUGUAUGUGCUUGAGGAGCAUCCUUCCUUCCUCGAUGGUGAUGCAUCGUUGAAGAAUCCCUAUUGGGCUUCGACGAUACAACUCCUUGUUGUUGCCAUAGAUGACUAUUUACGGUCGAUAACAUCUACUUUUAUUAGAACUUUAGACCCAAAGGAAAACAUUAAAACACACUAGUCUAGGAUUUAAACUAACAAUUUCCACAAGUUUUGCAUAUUUUGUAUUUUCUAGGGUCUAUUUCCAGAAAAGCUGAAAAGAGGUAUUCAAGUGCAAAAUAAACACGAAACUUAUCUGCCAUGAAAAGAUUAAGAAUGGUACAUGAGAAGACUCUAGAAGACACCCAAAGAGCCGGGGGGUUAGAGGCUGCCAGGUGGGGCUGACCGGCCCCACCCUAGCGCCGGCCGGUGCCCCAAUGUUACGGUUUCGGCCCCCCUUCUGGAAGCUUCCGCCCACUACUAACUUUUAUCCAUAUUGCAACCAUGUUUUGGCGCAACGGCAAGGUUUUGGUUGCAAAAGGGGUGGUCUCACAACCAUUUUAAGUUUUGGUUGCGAUAGACAGCAAUAUUGCCACCAAAAUUGUCUCGUUGCAAAAAGUGUUAAGAUCAUUGCGAUAGGGAAUUGCUAUCGCAACGAAAUGCCGAAUGGUUGCAAGAUGUUGUCCCUAUUGCCACAAAGUAACUGGUAUUGCAGUGAGUUAAAUUGACGCUGCAAUAGUAGAUUGAUAUUGCAACAAUUUUAAUUUCUGGUUGCAAGACUAGGCCUAUAUUGCCAUGGUGAGCUUGGCAUUGCGGAUAUAUGUAUGGGCGUUGCAAUACUAAAAUGAUAUUGCAACACUUCCAUCUUUUAGUUGCAAGAAUUUUAUACAAUUACCACGAUUUAAAUUGUGUUGCAGGGAGUUUUAUUAGCGUUGCUUUAUUUAUGAUUUGAUCAUACAAUGUCUACAUAAUUGAAAUCUUCUUCAAGUCACCUCCCUCCUUCAAGAUCAACGGUCCAUAAUGUUGGGUAUUCUUAACAUCAUUACCAAAAGUAGACUUAGUUUUCUAAUUCUAGUAACGGUGCCAAAAAUGCCAAACCUAUCCCUCACACCACUUAAGCCAAGUUGUCAUCCCCAACAUGACAUGAGAGACACGGUAUUGAAAUAUGCAAUUGCUCUUCUAAAUAAAUAAUGAAUGAGAUCUGCAAGCGCACAGAUUAAUACUGAAGCAGCAUUUUAACCGGGAAGUAUUUCAGGUAUCGUUAUUUAUAUUUUUACCACUGGGAAGGGAUUAGGAAUCAUCAACAUUGAUUACAGAAUAGAAUAUGAGAUUGAGUAUCUAUCAUUGCAUGUAUAAUUGAGAACAUUUAUCUAACUCUUUCAUACAGGGAUAAGAGUCACAUAAAACAUAUAUGAAAUAAUGAAUAGUGACAAAGAUAAUUAGUGUGAUCUAGCCACAUAAUAAAUAUGAUAAGCACCUCAAUUAGAUACUCUAGAAAGUCAUUAGCAUGGAAUUAGAAUGAACUACAAGAAUAUUUCCUAAGUUAUUCUAAACUAUAUAGUCUAGCAUUAUCAUAAUUAGUGCAAGCAUACUUAGCAAUCAUUGCGAGACAAGACUACGCCCAUGCAUAGUGAUAUGAGCAAGGUAAAUGAGAAACAUAGCAAUCACUCCCCUGUAAUAAUAUUGCUCUGCCAUCCCAAUACACGAGAGGGGGACUAUAUAAGAAUCAAUGAAGUUGUCACUAUCACGAACUACCCCACGAUCUGGCAUAUUGGGUACAAUCGCAGAUAAAUACGGUAUAAGCACCACGCCAACACAAUAUCUAUCAUUUACCUAUGGAUCCGAUGGAUAAAUGCUAUAUGAUCCUAAGCAUGUAUAUACAUCCAAUCUAACUAAGCCAAGUACAUACCUAUGAUAAACUAAGAACAAUAUAAUCUUGAAUAUAAGCAAGUAGAGCAAAGUCAUAAACAAUAUAUUGAAGUAGAACAAAGUCAUAUUCAUAAUAUUGAAGAACAAAGAUAAUUAGAAAGCAAUUAGAAGCACAAUUAGAGAAUUACCAAGAAUCCUCUUGACAGAUCCGGAAACCAAUCGAAGAUUGACUCCUUCUAGUUCUAAUCCUAUGUAGCUAUGCUAAUCUAGAUGUCUAAUUGAUGUGGUGGCUCUAAUCUUGAUCAGAGGCUUCUUCUCCCUUGAGAAUAAUGAAUUAGGGUUGAGAGGCUCUCUCCUCCGGGGCCAGGGGGUCUGGUUUUAUAGUCCCUUCAAGUGAAUAUGGGCCGUUGGAUCAAACUGACAUUGAUUGAACGGUUAUCCUUGAUCCUUUAGGUCGGUGGAGAUCUCCCACGAAGCAGAGUCCUGAUUGAACUCUCAGAGGGGGCGGGCGCCCAGGGCAGGUGGGCGGGCGCCCUGCCUCUGGCCCCGUUUCGCCUCCGCUUCGGUCUCGUGGCUUUUGGAGUCUUCUAGAUGUAAGAUAAUUGCGCGGCACGUUAAUAUCUCUAUGUAAUCCCGACGUGUGGGCCUUUCUUCCGUAUUUCCUGAUAACCCCCUGCAGAAAUAGACAAACACCAAAACUCGUGGAAUUCUGUCAGAUAAAACCCUAAGUCUAGAUGUUGAUUUCAUUUGGAUCCUUUUCUUUAUUUAUUUGAUAAUUAAAUUUGAUACUUAAGGACCGUCAACAAACUCCCCCAAGCUUACCUCUUGCUCGUCCCUGAGCAAGGAUAGACUCAGCUAUGGAUCAUAAGUUGUUGCAAUAUCUUUAAAAAUUGACGGUACACAUGCUUUUUUAAAUAAGAUCUCAUCUUUGAGUUAGAGUAAACUGUCAAGACUUAAAACAAACUUACUUUACCUUCACCAUGGGACUUGUAACCGUCACUUCUAUCUUGAGUAGUUAAAAGAUAAAACAGUCUAGUCAAGUGCCAUGUCUCUUAUUCUUGAUCAGCUAUAGCUCUGAAGUUUUUGCAGAUUUUCAAAUAAAACUCAGAGAUUCCUUGUAUGACUCUCUUAGAUCUCUCUUUUGUGGUAUUUCUGGAUCCUUACCAAGGCAGUGAUGGUAUAUGCCUUCUCUCAAGAUAUGUAGUAUUUGUAGUAUAAGGCAUAGUGACAUUGCCUUCUCUAUCACCCUACUCUAAUAAGGCUUUUACAUCUAGAGCUCAUAGGUGGGAGAUAAAAUAUACAUACUUAUAAGACAUUUAUUGUAUAGUCAAACCAUGGAUCCAAAGAAACAAAUCAAUAAGUCAAAUCAAGAUGUGCAUGUGUGGCGAAUGAAUGGUGUAUGGUGGUAAUGGUGAUAUAAUGGUGGAAGUCUAAUUCUACUUUUGCUCUUUUGAGGGGAUAUAUACCUUUCUUGCUUUUUGAAACUUUAUGAGGAGAAUGAGAUGCUCUUCUCUUUUUUUUCUUUUCUCUCAGGUGGGUAUCUUGUACCCCUAAUUCUACUGUCGGACACUUGUCCAUUUUUACCUCUCGUCUCACUUUUUCUUUUCUUCGAGGUUCCGGGCACUUGCCCCUUUUUAUUUCCUCGUAUCUCUUUUUUUUAGAGCACUCAUCUCUUGAGAUAAUAUAGCAAGUGGUAGUAACAAGAUAACUUGAGCAUUUAUUUCAUAAGGAAAAACAAAAAUAUUUUUGGCUAUUCUCUCCCGGAUUAGGAGUAGAAUAUUUUUGGGUGAUUCUGGAGAUAGAAAUGAGUAGAUAUAUGUGGAUGGUACUUCUAGAGUAGAAGUAGCAUAUAUGAGUGAACGUGCAAGUGAAUCUUGAUUUAACCACAUGACAAGCUCCUAAGGGUCUACACAGCUUGACCACACUCAAUGCUCAUAAGCAGUAAAUAAUAAAUGUGUGGCUCAAAGUCUAGCAAGCAUGUAUAUAUGGCUGUGGUAGGAAUUUAAACUCUCAUCAUACAGGAACUCAUCAUGUAAUAUUUUAAAGAUUUUCAAAGAUAAAAUUCUCCAGAAUUCUAGCAUCUCUAGGAACAGAUAAACAACAGCUCAACCUUCCCAUAUCGUAUCCGUUAACAACUUAGACUUCAAAUCAAGUUUUCAUCCCACAAGUUUAGGUCUAGAGCAAGCUUUAAAUCAUAACAGUUAUAUCUAAACUUGAGAGAGAACUUAAAAUGUGCAAAUUAGGCAGAGCAACUAUUCAUCAUAUCCAUGCUUGAGUUUUAUUUAGAUACAGAUUAGCAUAGCCACUUUCUUUAUUUAUUAAACACACUAAGCAAAAGAUAUAUAUAUAAGCAUAAAAUCUUUAUUUGGUUUUUCAUAGUUAUGUAUAUUUAAAUUCUAAAAUAAUAUAAGUAUAAAGAUAGAUAGAUAGAAAUACUUAUCGAGAUAAAUGGGGGUGCUCUCCCCCAAGCUGAAUUUUGACGUAAUUUCUCUUGAUGUAGCUAGCAGGUGACAGAGGUGUAUUUGAAAGUCAGCAGCAUUCUGACAGCGAUUAGAAUGUCCUCCGUCUGCUAGUCUUCUUGAUUCUUAAAUUCUGUGGAGCUCAAAUAGACAACAAAGCUUGUGGAACUGAUUAAGUGUUAGCAUAAAUAUCUAGCCUUUAUCCUGUUGAGACUCCUUAAUAAUUAUUACUCUCUAUUCUUUUAUAUUUUCGUUUUAUAAAACAGAAAAGAAAUUUUUAUUUUAUUUUUAUGCCACCACAGUGAAUGUACUUAUGGGUUUUAUAAAACAGUGAAUGUACUCACAUGGGGCUUACUGUUUUUCAUAUUUUUAUUUUAUUUUUAAGAUAGUAUGAACAUAAUUAACUAAGUAAACUAGUUGAAAUAAUUGAAAGGGAAAGAAUAACUACCAAGUUUACCUCUUGGCAAGGCGUUCGGUGUUUUUUUAAGUCCUCCGAACAGGACUCUCCUCUUUCUCAAUUGUCCUGGGAUUCGUUGGGUGGCAGAGUCGGUACUUCCGGCGGCGCCUCCUCUUCAUGUAUAGUUAUCUUCUCUUUCCAUACCUGACUCGGUGCUACGGUCUCCUCUGGAUAAUUCUGUUUAAACUCUACGUCUUCUGACCUUAUCACUUCUCCUUCAUAGUCUGUCCAUCCGUCCUUGAUGAUUUGCCUCCUCUGGUUGCGGUUGCGUUGUUUUCUUACCUGCUUAGAUUCUUCAACGAUAUAGUUAGGGUCAGUAAAAUAACGGCGUACCUUCUCUGAGGGGAAGUGCAUAUGGACUUCUCCGGUUCCAAUGUAGAUAAUUGCUUUAACGGUGCUGAGGAACGGUCUCCCAAGGAUGAUGGGUGGAUCAUACUCGUCUUCUCCCAUGUCAAUAACCUGAAAGUCUGUGUAGACAAAAUGAUCGUCUAUUUUGACUGGGACAUCAGUUACUAUUCCUUUAACUUCUUGAAACGUCCAAUCUGCCAUCUGGAGCUGAAUGUAUGUUGGUUUCAGGGGCAUGGUUCCGAACAAGAGCCGAUAGGUGACUGCGGCCAUUAUGUUGACGCCCGAUCCGGUGUCGCAAAAUGUCUUGUAGAAGCUGUAUCCAUUUAUGGAGCAAAAGAUGUUUGGCAUUCCUGGGUCAUCCUUCUUGGUCAAAAAUGGUGACUUAAGUUGGUGAUCUUGGCCUCCAUGAACUACAGUGACCAUCUUAGCUGACUCGGUCCAUACUUGCUUGUUCCUGUUCCUCCUGUUGGUCCUCUUCCUUGAUUCACGUCUGGAUUGAUCUGGAAUUUGUGUAGUCUUGUUCUUGAAGAAAAAUGUUUCCUUCCUCCCUUUGAUGUAGAAACUGAUCUUGGCAGCAUUGGUGUGGAUGAUAGCUCCUGUGGUGUUCAGGAAUGGCCUCCCUAAGAUGAUGGGUGCUCUCUCAUCGUUACCGGUCUCUACCACUACGAAUUCUGCUGGGGCAUACAAGGUACCAACUCGUACGCAAAGGUUCUUCAAUAUUCCCUUUGGAAAAGUUAUCGUUUGAUCUGCAAACUGCAAACACAUGGUUGUCUCUAAUAAAGGAUAUGUAAAGAAUUUUUCAUAGAGUACCCUGGGUAUAAUGUUGACGCUAGAGCCAAAGUCGCAGAGUGCUUCUGGGAUGUCCACCAUGCCGAUGGAGAUCGGGAUGACGGGGCAUCCUGGAUCGCCUCUCUUGACCGGCAGAAGGUCAGUAGAGAAUUCAGUGAUGGGGUUACUCCAAUUACCUGCAUCAAACAUGUCUACAAGAUUUGCAGAUUCUAAUCCUUCCAGUUGUAAUGGUAUAUCGGGGUUAGUAGCAGGAACAGCAGCAGUGUCACACCCGGAUGUAAAAGAGCAUUCGGGUGUCAAAUCACAUGUGCGCCAGGAUCUCAAAUUCACACACAUGGAUCGACAUCAUCAAUGGUACAAAACACAGUGUUCAAACGAAUUACAUAAAUGAGAGUAAAUGUACCAUUAUUACAAGCCAAAAGUUUAUCAAAGUGCGAAAGGGAAGCAUAAGCUAAACUGUUCCAAAGAUAAAAGAGGAAACUAAACGCCGACGCAGCAGGACCACCUUGCCACAGGAAGGUCGACGGCAGAACCACACGAGCCUAACAACCGGGAGACUCAGGGUAGUCCUCAGGGAAAUCACAAUUGUACUCCUGAUCGUCCGAGCAACCUUUAAUGAUUAUAGCAAGGGUGAGCUCAUGUCGAACUCAGCAAGCACAGACGGAAAGUAAUGACAUGCAAGGCUUAAAACAAGGUAAAGCUGACUUGGUUUGACUGCGGUAGCAUUUUAGUUGAUCACUUUAUUUAUGACUAUUAUUAGAACAACCUAUUACUAAUUAUGAGUGUUGACGGUCCUUAAGUAUCAAAUUUAAUUAUCAAAUAAAUAAAGAAAAGGAUCCAAAUGAAAUCAAGAUCCGGACCUAGGGUUUUAUCUGACAGAAUUCCACGAGUUUUGGUGUUUGUCUAUUUCUGCAGGGGGUUAUCAGGAAAUAUGGAAGAAAGGCCCACAUGUCAGGAUUACGUAAAGGUAUUAACGUGCUGCGCAAUUAUCUUACAUCUAGAAGACUCCAGAAGCCACGAGACCGAAGCGGAGGCGAAACGGGGCCAGACCCUGGGCGGCCGCCCAGUUGGUCAGGGCGCCCGCCCACCUCCUGAGUCCAAUCAGGACUCUGCUUUGCGGGAGAUCUCCACCGACCUAAAGGAUGAAUCUAAACCAUACAAUCUAUGUCGGUUUGAUCCAAGGGCCCAUAUUCACUUGAAGGGACUAUAAAACCAGACCCCCUGGCCCCUGGAGCAGAGAGCCUCUCAACCCUAAUUCAUUGUUCCAUCAAGGGAGAAGAAGCCUCUAAUCAAGAUUAGAGCCACCACAUCAAUUAGAUAUCUAGAUUAGCAUAGCUACAUAGGAUUAGAACUAGAAGGAGUCAAUCUUCGAUUGGUUUCCGGAUCUGUCAAGAGGAUUCUUGGUAAUUCUCUAAUUGUGCUUCUAAUUACUUUCUAAUUAUCUUUGUUCUUCAAUAUUAUGAAUAUGACUUUGUUCUACUUCAAUAUAUUGCUUAUGACAUUGCUCUACUUGCUUAUAUUCAAGAUUAUAUUGUUCUUAGUUUAUCAUAGUUAUGUACUUGGCUUAGUUAGAUUCGAUCUAUAUACAUGCUUAGGAUCGUAUAGCGUUUAUCCAUCGGAUCCAUGGGUAAAUGAUAGAUAUUGUGUAGGCGUGGUGCUUAUACCGUAUUUAUCUGCGAUUGUACCCAAUAUGCCAGAUCGUGGGGUGGUUCGUGAUAGUGACAGCUUCAUUGAUUCUUAUAUAGUCCCCCUCUCGUGUAUUGGGCUGGCAGAGCAACAUUAUUACAGGGGAGUGAUUGCUAUGUUUCUCAUAUUCCUUGCUAAUAUCACUAUGCAUGGGCGUAGUCUUGUCUCGCAAUGAUUGCUAAGUAUGCUUGCACUAACUAUGAUAUGCUAGACUAUAUAGUUGAGAAUAACUUAGGGAAUUUUCUUGUAGUUCGUUCUAAUACCAUGCUAAUGACUUUCUAGAGUAUCUAAUUGAGGUGCUUAUCAUAUUUAUUAUGUGGCUAGAUCAGAUUAGUUAUCCUUGUCACUAUUAUUAUUUCAUAUAUCUUUUAUGUGACACUUAUCCCUGUAUGAAGAGUUAGAUAUAAUGUUCUCAAUUAUACAUGCAAUGAUAGAUGCUCAAUCUCAUAUUCUAUUCUGUAAUCAUUAGUGAUGAUUGCUAAUCCCUUCCCAGUGGUAAACAUAUAAAUAACGAUACCUGGAAUACUUCCCGGUUAAAAUGCUACAUCGGUAUUAAUCUGUGCGCUUGCAGAUCCAAUUCAUUAUUUAUUUAGAAGAGCAAUUGCAUAUUUCAAUACCGCGUCUCUUAUAUCAUGCUGGGGAUGACAACUUGGCUUAAGUGGUGUGAGGGAUAGGUUUGGCAUUUUUGGCACCGUUGCUAGAUUUAGAACUUAGUCUACUUUUAGUAAUGAUGUUAAGAAUACCCAACAAGCAUUUUUGGCGCCGCUGCCGGGGAAGGUUGAUUACUAAUCAGGAAUGGAAUAAAAGAGUUUGAGUUAUCAUUCGCAUCACUAAUAUGAUUGAGCUUAUCUAUUCUCUCAUACAGUUUUACCCUAAUAUUUUUCUAUUUUAUCUUAUGCAGGGGAAUGUAUGAAUAGAAGACAUCUUCCAGGAAAUUUUGUUGACAAUCUCGAAGCAUUAUUCAAGAAGACGAGAGCCAAGCUAAAGAAAUCAUCAACACUUCAGCAAGAAGCUUCAUCCAGUCAAGAAGAUCACCGGAACUUGUCUUCAGAGUUCGAAGCCAUGGCCAACAAAUCAAUCCGUGAGUUCUCAGCUCCCACUAUGGACAACAUCCGCACUGGACCUGCUGCAGAGAUCGAUGGCAACUUUGAGCUCAAGCCUAGACUUAUCAACAUGGUGCAAUCCAACCAGUUCUGUGGGAAGGCACACGAAGACGCUAGUGCUCAUUUACAACACUUCCUGGAGAUUUGCAACACAUUCACCAUAGCAGGAGUUUCCAAAGAUGCUAUACUACUUCGCGUCUUCCCAUUCUCACUGUUAGGAAGAGCGAAGCAGUGGUUCUACGCUACAAAGGAGAAGAAUACUACGUGGGCACUCUGCUCAACAAACUUCCUGGCUAAGUUCUUUCCCAUGGGCAAGACCAAUGCUCUCCGUGGGAAGAUUACAAGUUUUCAGCAACAAAAUGAUGAAUCUGUUCCAGAAGCAUGGGAGCGCUUUCAAGACUACAUCCUAGAAUGUCCCCAUCAUGGAAUGGAGAGUUGGCUACUGAUGCAGACAUUCUAUCAUGGGCUCAGCAACAGUGCCCGAGAGACCAUGGAUGCUGCAGCUGGAGGAGCAUUCUUAUCACUUACUAUACCACAAGCCACAGCUCUUGUGGAGAAGAUGGCGUCCAACCAAAGCUGGAAUGAAGAGAGGACCCAGACACGCAAGAGAGGUGGAGGUAUGCAUCAGCUGAAGGAGGUAGACAUGCUGUCUGCAAAGCUAGACCUGCUCAUGAAGAAGCUCGACGAUAGAGCUGGAGACAAGAAAGAAGUUAUGCACAUCUACGACUCUCACGUCACUUGUGAGGAGUGCGGAGACACUCGACACUCAGGCAACCACUGCCCUGAGAUGCUUGAGGAUGUGAACUACAUCAAUAACAACAACAACAACAACUACAACCGUCCUCAACAAAAUCAAGGUUGGAAUCAACAGAGGCCUAACUACUCAGGUAAUUAUCAAGGUAACAAUUCUUACAACAAUAAUAAUAAUUUUCCACAUUUGAGAGAGUUAGUGUCUAAUCAAGGAAAGCUAAUGGAUAACCUGUCUAAGAAAUUGGCAUCAAAUGAUAAAAUGCUAGAAAAUAUAAAUAAUAGAAUGGAUAAUUUCUCUACUGCCAUCAAGAAUCAAAUUAGCUUUAAUAAAAUGAUUGAAUCUCAGUUAAAUCAAAUAGCUGUUGCUGUUCCCACUACUAACCCCGGUAUACCAUCACAACCGGAAGGAUUAGAAUCUGCAAAUCUUGUAGACGUGUUUGAUGCAGGUAAUUGGAGUAACCCCGUCACUGAAUUUUCUACUGACCGUCUGCCGGUCAAGAGAGGCGAUCCAGGACGCCCCGUCAUCCCGAUCUCCAUCGGCAUGGUGGACGUUCCAGAAGCACUCUGUGACUUUGGCUCUAGCGUCAACAUUAUACCCAGGGUACUCUAUGAGAAAUUCUUUACAUAUCCUUUAUUAGAAACAACCAUGUGUUUGCAGUUUGCAGAUCAAACGAUAACUUUUCCAAAAGGAAUAGUGAUGAACCUUUGUGUCCGAGUUGGUACCUUGUAUGCCCCAGCAGACUUCGUAGUGGUAGAGACUGGAAAUGAUGAGAGAGCACCUAUCAUCCUAGGUAGGCCAUUUUUGAACACCACGGGAGCUAUCAUCUACGCUAGUGCUGCCAAGAUAAGUUUCUACGUCAAAGGGAAGAAGGAGACAUUUUUCUUCAAGAACAAGACUACACAAAUUCCAAAUCAAUCCAGACGUGAAUCAAGGAAGAGGACCAACAGGAGAAACAGGAACAAGCAAGUGUGGACCGAGUCAGCUAAGAUGGUCACUGUAGUCCAUGGAGGCCAAGAUCACCAACUUAAGUCACCGUUUUUGACCAAGAAGGACGACCCAGGAAUGCCAAGCAUCUACUGCUCCAUAAAUGGAUAUAACUUCUACAAGACGAUUUGCGACACCGGAUCGGGCGUCAACAUAAUGGCCGCAGUCACUUAUCGGCUCUUGUUCGGGACCAUGCCACUAAGACCAACAUGCAUUCAGCUCCAGAUGGCAGAUCAGACAUUUCGAGAAGUUCAAGGAAUAGUAUCUGAUGUCCCAGUCAAAAUAGACGAUCACCUUGUCUACACAGACUUUCAAGUUGUUGACAUGGGAGAAGAUGAGUAUGAUCCACCCAUCAUCCUUGGAAGACCGUUCCUCAGCACCGUUAAAGCAAUUAUCUACAUUGGAACCGGAGAAGUCCAUAUGCACUUCCCCUCAGAGAAGGUACGCCGUUAUUUUACUGACCCUAACUAUAUCAUUGAAGAAUCUAAGCAGGUAAGGAAAAGACGCAACCGCAACCAGAGGAGGCAGAUCAUCAAGGACGGAUGGGCAGACUAUGAAGGAGAAGUUGUAAGGUCAGAAGACGUAGAGUUCAAACAGAAUUAUCCAGAGGAGAUUGAAGCACCGAGUCAGGUAUGGAAAAUGAAGAUAACUAUACAUGAAGAGGAGGCGCUGCCGGAAGUACCGACUACGCCACCCAACGAACCUCAGGACGAUUAAGAAAAUGGAGAGUCCCGUUCGGAGGACUUAAAAACACCGAACGCCCUGCCAAGAGGUAAACUUGGUAGUUACCCUUUCCCUUUCAAUUAUUUCAAUUAUUUCAAAUAGUUUACUUAGUUAAUUAUGUUCAUGCUAUCCUAAAAAGAAAAUAAAAAUGUAAAAAACAGUAAGCCCCAUAUGAGUAGACGAGUGGCAUAAAACCCAUAAGUACAUUCACUGUGGUGGCAUAAAAAUAAAAUAAAUAUUUUUUCUGCUUUAUAAAAACAAAAAUAUAAAAACAGAGAGUAACAAUUAUUAAGGAGUCUCAACAUGAUAAAGGCUAGAUAUUUAUGCUAACACUUAAUCAAGUUCCACAAGCUUUGUUGUCUAUUUGAGCUCCACAGAAUAUCAAGAAGACUAGCAGACGGAGGACAUUCUAAUCGCUGUCAGAAUGCUGCUGACUUUCAACUACACCUCUGCCACCUGCUAGCUACAUCAAGAGAAAUUACGUCAAAAUUCAGCUUGGGGGAGAGCACCCCCAUUUAACUCGAUAAGUAUUUCUAUCUAUUUUUAUACUUAUAUUAUUUUAGAAUAUUAAAAUACACAUAAACUAUGGGAAAACCAAAUAAAGAUUUUAUGCUUAUAUAUGUCUUUUGCUUAGUGUGUUUAAUAAAUAAAUAAAGUGGCUAUGCUAAUCUGUAUCUAAACAAAAACUUAAGCAUGGAUAUGAUGAAUAGUUGCUCUACCUAAUUUGCACAUUCUAAGUUCUCUCUCAAGUUUAGAUAUAACUGUUAUAAUUUAAAGCUUGCCCUAGACCUAAACUUGUGGGAUGAAAACUUGAUCUGAAGUCUAAGUUGUGAAUGGAUACGAUAUGGGAAGGUUGAGCUGCUGUUUAUCUGUUCCUAGAGAUGCUAGAAUUCUGGAGAAUUUUAUCUUUGAAAAUCUUUAAAAUGUUGCAUGAUGAGUUAACCACAGCCAUAUAUACAUGUUUGCUAGACUUUGCGCCACACAUUUAUUAUUUACUGCUUAUGAGCAUUGAGUGUGGUCAAGCUGUGUAGACCCUUAGGAGCUUGUCAUGUGGUUAAAUCAAGAUUUCACUUGCACGUUCACUCAUAUAUGCUACUUCUACUCCAGAAGUACCAUCCACAUAUAUCCAUCCAUUUCCAUCUCCAGAAUCACCCAAAAAUAUUCUGCUCCUAAUCCGGGAGAGAAUAACCAAAAAUAUUUCUGUUUCCCCUUGUGAAAUAAAUGCUCAAGUUAUCUUGUUACUACCACUUGCUAUAUUAUCUCAAGAGAUGAGUGCUCUAAAAAAAAGAGAGAAGAAAAUAAAAAAAAUAUACGAGGAAAUAAAAAGGAGCAAGUGCUCGGAACCUCGAAAGAAAAGAAAGAGUGAGACGAGAGGUAAAAAUGGACAAGUGUCCGACAGUAGAAUUAGGGGUGCAAGAUACCCACCUGAGAGACAAGAAAAAGAAGAUCAUCUCAUUCUCCUCAUAAAGUUUCAAAAGCAAGGAAGGUAUGUAUCCCCUCAAAAGAGCAAAGUAGAAUUAGACUUCCACCACCAUUGUUAUCACCAUCAUCACCAUACACCAUUCAUUCGCCACACAUGCACAUCUUGAUUUGGCUUAUUGAUUUGUUUCUUUGGAUCCAUGGUUUGACUAGGCAAUAAAUGUCUUGUGAGUAUGUAUACUUUAUCUACCACCUAUGAGCUCCAAAUAUUAAAGCCUUAUUAGAGUAGGGUGAGAGAGAAGGCAAUGUCACUAUGCCUUAUACCACAAAUACUACAUAUCUUGAGAGAAGGCAUAUACCAUCAAUGCCUUGGUAAGGAUCCAAAAAUACCACAAAAGAGAGAUCUGAGAGAAUCAUACAAGGAAUCUCUGAGUUUUAUUUGAAAUUCUGCAAAAGCCCCAGAGCUAUAGCUGAUCAAGAAUAAGAGACAUGGCACUUGGCUAGACUGUUCUAUCUUUUAACCACUCAAGACGGAAGUGACAGUUACAAGUCCCAUGGUGUAGGUAAAGUAAGUAAGUUUUAAGUCUUGACAGUUUACUCUAACUCAGAGAUGAGAUCUUAUUUAAAAAGCAUGUGUACCGUCAAAUUUUAAAGAUAUUGCAACUACUUAUGAUCCAUUGCUAAGUCUAUCCUUGCUCAGGGACGAGCAAGAGGUAAGCUUGGGGAGUUUGUUGACGGUCCUUAAGAAUCAAAUUUAAUUAUCAAAUAAAUAAAGAAAAGGAUCCAAAUGAAAUCAAGAUCCAGACUUAGGGUUUUAUCUGACAGAAUUCCACGAGUUUUGGUGUUUGUCUAUUUCUGCAGUGGGUUAUCAGGAAAUAUGGAAGAAAGGCCCACAUGUAAGGAUUACGUAAAGGUAUUAACGUGCUGCGCAAUUAUCUUACAUCUAGAAGACUCCAGAAGCCACGAGACCGAAGCGGAGGCGAAACGGGGCCAGACCCUGGGCGGCCGCCCAGUUGGUCUGGGCGCCCGCCCACCUCCUGAGUCCAAUCAGGACUCUGCUUUGCGGGAGAUCUCCACUGACCUAAAGGAUGAAUCUAAACCAUACAAUCUAUGUCGGUUUGAUCCAAGGGCCCAUAUUCACUUGAAGGGACUAUAAAACCAGACCCCCUGGCCCCUGGAGGAGAGAGCCUCUCAACCCUAAUUCAUUGUUCCAUCAAAGGAGAAGAAGCCUCUGAUCAAGAUUAGAGCCACCACAUUAAUUAGAUAUCU